This 55003-nucleotide long non-coding RNA is filed under the name Cicer arietinum (chickpea). RNAcentral describes it as "long non-coding RNA (CARI_LNC002038)". Lineage: Eukaryota; Viridiplantae; Streptophyta; Magnoliopsida; Fabales; Fabaceae. The record is from RNAcentral.
CUCCCCAAAAACAACCAUAACCUCCACUCUGUUACCAGUUUCUAGAUUUGAUGUUAUGCUCUUCCAAUCCUCAUCCUCAAAGGAUGUUAGUGUAUCUCUUUUAUAGGCCAGAAUGGUUGCCUUUGUGUAAUUUAUGAUCAACACACCUUUGCAACCAUCUGAUGCUAUGUUGUCCGGGGAAGAGUAAUAGACGACGAACAACAUCAUACUCUUCAGGUUACUCCCCUUUAUUGCUGGGACAUCAAAUAUUAUAGAACAACCUUUGCAACUGAAGGUUAACCAAUCGGAUUUAUUGUCGUCAAAGAGAAAAAAUGAAUCCCAAGUCCCAUCUGCAGCCUUUACAAUUAACAAGUGUUUCAAUGGCUCAAAUUAUGUUUAUGUAGUUCAUUUUAGCAUCCUUACUAAGAUGUAUAAAAUGGUUUAUUCUCAUUUCAUAUACAUGAUCAUCUAAUCUAACUAGAAAAAAAAGUAAAAUGGUAUUUUUCUCUUAAAAAUGUACAUUGCUUGUAAUUUAAUUCUUGAUUAAAUUAUGUGUGAAUUAAUCAUGGAGUUAUUCACACCCAUUUCAAAAACUACUAAUGUGAAAUGAGUUUGAAAACUUUAAGAAUUAAAUUGGUGUCUCAUUCAAAAUAAGGAUGACAUAAUUGGGCAAAAAAAUAUGCAAACCUGUAAAAUAUUGUCUUCAGUGAUAUUGGGGAUUCGGCAUUUUGUUGCCAUCUGAAUUAAGAGAGAUUUCAAGUAAUUAUUUGACUGUGAAGUGCGAACUUGACCGAGGCAAUCAUCAAUUAAAGGAGAAGCAUACAUAUCAGGGUUCUCCAAUGUAGCUGUACUUGCAUUUGCUUCCAAUUUCUUACAAUUUGUGGCUUUAAAUACAUCCAAAAUUCUUGCUGCAUCUUGAGUAAGUCGUAAAUCUGAUCCACACUCCAAACAAAGACUUCGAAGCUUUAGAAGUUCCUUGAAAGUACCAAGAGAUGAUAUGGACGCAGAUGUUUGAACUAGAGAUAUCACAUUAUUUGAUGGUGACAUCCAAGACCGAAUGAGAGAAGGAAAUACAUCACGUGAAAAUCCUUCAAAGCCACAUAAAGAAAUAUAUCCAAUGCUUUUCAAUCUUACUAUUGAAAAGGGCACUUGUGUUAUAGCAGUCCUAUCAGCAAUCAAGGUUGUCAAAGAUUCCAUUUGUUCCAAGUCCUCCUCCAGUUUGUCGAUCAUGGAACAUCCCGAAAGAAUCAAAGUUUCCAGAGAUUUUAAUUUAUAGAUGUUUUUCGGAAGUUUUCGAAGACCUGUGCAGUCUUUCAAAUUUAUCAGAAGAAGUUUAUGGAGAGAUCCAAUGCUAUGGGAGACCACAGACAAACUUGGACAGUGUUUGAGUACUAGCUUUUCAAGAUUAGGCAAGUAUGAAAAGUCUGGGGUUUCAGUCAAAUCCCGAGAAUGACUAACAUUAAGAAUUUUUAGAUUCUCUAACAUCUGCAAGAAAAAAAAACACACACACACACGCACAAGAGAAUAAUAAGAGAAGCUUAGAAAAAAUAUAUUGGAAUUUGGAAGAAUGACUGUUUUCCACUAAACCUUGACACAGAGAUGUAUCAGUAAUUAAGGCUGGUUAAUGAUUACAUGAGCAUUGAUUUUGCUUUGAAUAUUAAAUUUAGAAGCUAAUUUUUAAUUUGUAAAAGUGAUAACUUGAAUUGUUUUAGUUUAAGAAAAUGUUCUUAGAAUAUCUUAUAAUAUCUUAAGUAAUUUUCUAUGAUCAAUUUAUAAUCUUAGAGUAUCUCUUAGGAUUAGAUUAUAUAUUACUUCUUAUUAUGAUUUGUUCUUGAUUUAAGACUUAAGUCUAUGUAUCCCUAUAAAUAGGAACUCAUAUUGAGUCUUUUAUAUAAGUCAAUAUGAAGUUAUUAUCAAUAUUCAAGGUGCUUAUUAUUUUCUCUCUUGCUUUUAUCUAAAACCCCAAAAAAUUCAACGGUUUAUAUAUAUAAAUUACUUCCUCAAUUUGUCUAUUUUUUAACCAUUGGUAAUGAGGUGUAAUAGACAUGACACAUUUUACACGUGUGAAACAAAUAUGUUACACGAUUUGUGGAUGUAGAGGCCAAUUAAUGUUACACAAGUGCAGUUAUCAUGUCAUGCCUACUAUUUAUUACACCAUGAUAUCAUUGGAACAUAGUUUUACAAAACACAAAAAUCACAGACACAAAGUAGCGCAGCAAGAGAGAUUUGGGAGGAAGAGUUUUCACUAUUUCUCAACUCAAAAUGAUAUUCUAAUACGUGAUGCUUCAGAUUCUCAAUAUUAUAUAGCCUGAAAGAAAUUGCUGACAUAUAGCAAUCAAAUCUGAUAUGAUUGUGUUUAUUAGUUGAUUUUCUAUUUAAGUUUAUUUGUAUUUUGGGAAAGAAUAAAAUCACUCUGAUUUGAUUUAUUUCUUAAUUUAUUUUUCUUUUAUUCUCUGCAUUCAUUAGAAAGCUGACAACAUUAUAUAUGUGUAUAUAUAUAUAUAUAUAUAUGUUUGUACUGUUUAAGUUUCAAUAUAAUAAGAAAUUUUCAUUCCCUCUUGUUUUAACCUAGCUGCACCUUAAAACACAUGGUAUCAGAGCUUCGGCUCUGAUCUGAUCCUGUGGCAGCUCACCAUGUCCUCACAAGAAACUGAAAAAAAAUUAUUCCUCCACUACUACAAUACCAGAAGAAAAAAAUUUGGUGACCCUAAAAUAGUGUCAACCCCUACCACAAAUGAUCCACUAUCCAUAAACUCUAGUUUACAACUUCUAAUCCAAAAGCUGAAUGAUAGAAACUAUGUUGAAUGGGCCCAGACCGUGAAGUUAUCUCUUUAUGGCAACGGGAAGUCAGAGAACUCCAUAAUCAUUGGGUGGUUGAUUCACUCAAUGGGAAGCCCUACCUAUUCAUUUCCACUGCAAAAGAGGUGUGGGAAGCUGUACGCGAUUGCUAUUCUGACUUGGAGAACUCCUCACAAAUUUAUGAACUUAAGACUCAUUUGUGGCAGUCCAAACAAGAAGAUAAAGAUGUCACACCAUUCUUUAAUCUCAUGGUUAUCCUUAGGCAAGAGUUUGACCAAUGUUAUGAGGAUGAUUGGAAGAAUUCCAAAGAUGCAAACAGAUUUAUGAAAAGAGAAGAAAACGAUAAAGGUUUAUAUGUUUCUAGCAGGACUCAAUCCAGAACUUGAUGAAGUCUGUGGUCGAAUUUUGGGCACAAAACCUUUUCCUUCAUUGAGGCAAGUAUUUUCUGAAGUAAGGAGGGAGGAAUCCAAAAGGAAAGUUAUGUUGCAAAAAUCUGAUAGUACAAGGGUGCAAGAAACUGAGAGUUCUGUUAUGCCUGCAAAGGGAUACGUAGCAAAUGGAGAAAGAAAAAGACGACCUUGGUGUGAUCAUUGUAGACGACCAUGGCACACUAAGGAAACUUGUUGGAAACUUAAUGGAAAACCACCCAACUGGAACAAGAAGCCAAAUGGAAAGGGUAGGGUCUUCCAAGCUGCAAAUGGAGAAAAUUUGGAGAAUAAAGUCAACUCUAAGGCAUCUAUUUUCUCUAAGGAACAACUAGAGCACUUGUAUAAGCUCUUUACCUCUAUGUCAGUUACUUCUUCAUCCUCUUGCUCAAAAAGGUAUCUCUUUCUCUUCUACUCUUUUGAGUUCCAAACCAAAUUCUAAAACUCCAUGGAUCAUCAUUCUGGAGCCACUGAUCAUAUGAUAGAUUGCUCAAAAUUGUUUUUCACUUAUAAUACUUGUACAGGUCAUAAAAAGGUAAAGAUAGCUUAUGGUACUUUUUCCACCAUAGCUGGAGUUGGUUCUAUCCCUAUUUCUAAAUCUCUAACUCUUCACAAUGUCCUUCAUGUUCCAAAUUUGUCAUGUAACUUGCUGUCCAUAAGCAACUUAACACAAGAUCUUAACUGUUUGGCUAUUUUUAACCUAGUUAAUUGUCAAUUUCAGGAGUUGAAAUCGGGGAGGAUGAUUGGCAGCGCUAAAGAGGUUAAUGAUCUCUAUCUCUUCAAUGAUGAGGCUAAUUUUAAAGAGGAAUUUCAUAGUAAUAGUCUCAACUCAAUUUUGGUUCAUAAUAAUGAAGAAAUAAUGUUAUGACAUUAUAGGCUAGGACAUCCAAAGUUUUGUUAUUUGAAGCAUUUAUUUUCCGAGUAUUUUAAGAAUAAAAAUCUAAAUCAGUUUUUCUAUGAAGUUUACCAAUUUGCAAAACAUCAUCGUUCUUCCUAUUCUCCUCAGGUGCAUAAACCAUCUAAUCCAUUCACAUUAAUUCAUAGUGAUGUUUGGGGACCUUGUAGGGACCCUACUCCUAAUGGAAGAAGAUGGUUUAUUACCUUCAUAGAUGAUCACACUUGAUUAAUUUGGAUUUACUUAAUGAAAACAAAAUCUAAAGUUGAAAGUAUCUUCAAAUGUUUUUUUCAAAUGGUUGACUCAAUUUCAAGUAAAAAUCAAAAUUCUCCGUAGUGAUAAUGGAAGGGAAUAUUUUAAUAAACACUUAAAUGGAUUUUUUCUACAACAAGGUAUCAUUCAUCAAAGUUCAUGUGUGGAUACUCCACAACAAAAUGGAGUGGUUGAACGAAAAAAUAAACAUCUCCUUGAAGAUGCUAGUGCAUUGUUGUUUCAAAAUAAGGUUCCAAAGUAUCUUUGGGGAAAAGCAAUUCUCACUGGAACAUAUUUGAUAAAUAGGAUGCCUACCAAAAUUUUAGAUUACAAAACUCCGUUUGAUGUUUUCACAAGUCUAUUUCUAAUAAUAAACUUUCACAUACUCUACCUCUAAAGAUAUUUGGAUGUAUUGUUUUUGUUCAUAUUCAUGAUCCGAAUCAAGGAAAACUUGAGCCUAGAGCAAGAAAAUGUGUUUUUUAUUUGCUAUGCAUCCAAUCAAAAAGGAUACACAUGUUUUGAACCUAUUUUCAAAAAGAUUUUUGUGACCAUGGAUGUCACUUUCUCUGAAAAAAACUCAUUUUUUGGUAAUCAUUUUCAAGGGGAGAUAAUAGAAGGAUGAUGUUCAAUAUUUAAAAAAUUGCAAAUCUGGAUUUUCUAAACUAUUUGGAAAAAACAGAUUGUGAAAAGUAACAUAGUAGAAUCCUAUUUGAAAAUACUAGAAAUUGAGGAAAGUAACAAAAAAAAAUAUCCUUGGGUGAAUCUAGUCAAAGCCAUGGACAUGAUAUUUAUGAAAAUGUCUUGAUAGAACCAGAAGUUGAAAAUGAGACAGUUGAAAUUGGUAACAAAGGUAUCCAACCCUUUGACCAUGUAUACUUAAGAAAAAAAGUGCCUUAGAGAAGAGAACCUCAACACUGCCAAACAUCCAAAAUCCAAUAGGUAAGAGUCUUUCUAAUUCUAUUAUACCCUUUCAAAAUUUUGAACAUUCUGAACAUAAUAAUCUUGUCUUUGUUGAACCUGUUCCCAAUGAUUUUGUCAUUCUAGAACCUACCUUUUCUUGUCUACCCAUUGUUGUUAGAAAAGGGAUAAGAGCAUGUACAAAACAUCUUAUCUCUAACUUUAUAUCUUAUGACAAAUUGUCUCCCACCUUUAGAGUUUUUACUUAUGAACGGACAAAAAUAGAUAUCCCAAGAGAUAUACAACAAGCUCUAAGGUUUCCUAAGUGGAAAGAAGCUGUCUUGGAAGACAUGAGUGUUGUUAUAAAAAAUCAAACUUGGAAAGAGGUGGAUCUACCUAGAGGAAAAAGAACUGUGGGGUGCAAAUGGGUGUUCACCAUAAAACACAAGGCUGAUGGAUCAGUAAAGAGGUAUAAGGCCAAGUUAGUUGCCAACGGCUUUACACAAACUUAUGGUAUUGAUUACUCAGAAAAUUUUGCUCUUGUUGCAAAACAUAACACCAAUAGAGUUCUUUUAUCUUUAGUCGUUAACUUGGAUUGACCAUUACACCAGCCAGACGUAAAAAAUGCAUUUUCAAAUGGAGAUUUAGAGGAGGAAGUCUAUAUGGAUUCACCCCCGGGGUUUGAAUUUAAAUUCAACCAAAAGGUCUGCAAGCUUCAGAAGUCUCUUUAUGGCUUGAAACAGUCACCUCGAGCGUGGUUUGAAAGAUUCACCCAAUUUGUUAAGAAGCAGGGAUAUUCUCAACGUCAAAGCGAUCACACCAUGUUUGUGAAACAUUCUUCUAAAGGUAAAAUGGCUAUAUUGAUCGUUUAUGUAGAUGAUAUUGUUAUCAUUGGGGAUGACUGUAAUGAAAUAACAAAUUUCUUGCUACUGAGUUUGAAAUUAAAGAUCUUGGGUCUUUAAAAUAUUUUUUGGAAAUGGAAGUUGCGAGAUCAAAGAAAGGGAUUGUUGUAUCACAACAGAAAUAUAUUUUAGAUCUUCUAAAAGAAACCGGGAUGAUGGGUUGUAGGCCAGCUGUUACUCCAAUAGAUCCUAAUCAGAAAACUGGUGGUGAUGGUAGUGGUGAUCUAGUGGAUACAUGGUAUCAAAGAUUAGUAGGAAGACUAAUUUAUCUAUCUCAUACUCGUCCAGAUAUAGUCUUUGUUGUUAGCUUAGUGAGUCAGUUUAUGCACUCACCUCACGAAGAACAUUUAGAGGUUGUUUACUGUAUUCUAAGGUAUCUCAAAAGUUCCCCCGGAAGGGGACUGUUUAUCCAAAAAACUGAUCAACAAGGCAUUGAGGUAUUCACUGACGCAGAUUGGGCAGGGUCCAUCCAGAUAGAAAGUCAACAUCUGGUUACUACACAUUUGUUUGGGGGAACUUAGUUACUUGGAGGAGCAAGAGACAAAAUGUAGUAGCUAGAAGCAGUGUUGAGGUAGAAUAUAGGACAAUGGCCCAAGGUGUUUGUGAAAUCCUAUGGCUUCAAAGAAUCAUAGAAGAGCUUAAACUUCCUAUAAAUCUUCCAAUGAAGUUGUAUUGAGACAGCAAGGCAGCAAUUAGUAUUUCUCAAAAUCCUGUUCAACAUGACCGAACCAAACAUGUUGAAAUUGAUAGACAUUUUAUAAAAGAGAAAGUAGAUGCAGGUCUGAUUUGUAUGCCUUUUGUCCCUACUUCACAACAAGUUGUUGAUAUCCUUACCAAAGGUCUGUUCAGGCCUAGUUUUGAAUUUCUUGUAAACAAGUUGGGCAUGCUAGACAUAUAUGCACCAACUUGAGGGGGUGUUGACAUAUAGCAAUCAGAUCUGUUAUGAUUGUGUUUAUUAGUUGAUUUUCUAUUUAAGUUUAUUUGUAUUUUGGAAAAGAAUCCAAUCACUUUGAUUUGAUUUAUUUCUUAAUUUAUUUAUCCUUUAUUCUCUGCAUUCAACAACAUUGUAUAUAUAUAUAUAUAUAUAUAUAUAUAUAUAUGCGUGGGUGUGUGUUUUUGUACUGUUUCAGUUUAAAUAUAAUAAGAAAUUUUCCUUUCCUCUUGUUUUAACCUAGCUGCACCCUAAAACACAGAAAUCAAUAUGACAAGCUUGAAAUUUGAUUGCAUGGUUGUAUUUACGUUGUUUAGUUUAGAUUAUUUAAACGCAUAAGACUAAUUUGAAAAAGAAAAAAGUUUAUCACUAAAUAACUUUUCAAAUUACUUUCUUUGCAAAACUACUCUUCAAUAAUUUACUACCUUGUAGUCAUUGUAUAACCAAAAAAUUAAUUGAAGGGCAAUCUUGGAACAUCAAUAAACAAAAUAGACAAAUUUAAUACACUACUUAAUUUUCUUCAUAUCUGUGAAAUUGUCAAAGUAAUGGACAUAGUACAACUUUUCGUCAUCCUAAUUCACCAAUUUGCCAAAUUCUAGAAGCCUUGCCUAACUUCUUCCUAAAAGCGCACUAUACAAAAACUGUAGAGCUAGAUGAGACGAUAGAUUUAAAUUUAUUGCUUGUCUUCUAUGGUCUGGGGAAAAUUUAAUGCUUCUGACAAAUAUGACUGGAGAAAAAAAAUCAUGCGCAAAAUAUUAAAAUGAAUUUGUACCUGUACCUGGCUCUUCUUCCAUAUUUGUUUGAGAUUACUAUAUUUUAAUUCAAAGGCAACUAAACUUCUUUGCUGAAAUUCUGCAGGAGCAUAAGUUGAUGGAAAUCCAUUCCAAUACAGCCAUCUAAGAUCUCGUGAAAGAUAUUUAAAAUCUCCAUUAAGCUGCACCCCAGCAAGUUGAAGCAAUCUAAGUUUAUUCAUCUUUUUAAAUGCUUUAGUAUUCAGACAAACAGUAAUUUUUUUUGGAAACUCCAAAGCUAGUCCCUUGACACCUUCUGUUCCCUGAAAUUAAAAAAUCAGAGAAACAUAAAACGAUUAGCUUAAAUAUAUGGUACCUAAACAUUUUCUAAUAACAUAUAUAAGCCAUACAAGAAGUUCUCUAAUUAAUAAUUACCUUAUGCGUUGAUAAUAUAUCAAACACAUCCUCACGGCGCCACAACCUACUGCGCUUCUCAGGAUCAAAUGGUGACUCCUCAUAAAUUAUUUGUCUUCCCAUGUCUCUCAACAAAUCAUGCAUUCUAAGUUUGUUCUUCUUGUCAAUAGUUACAAGGCUUCGCUCUACAAGGACUUUCAUUCCAACAUCAGCGAAAAAUCCACACCCAUUUAAUAUUCGUAUUACAUCAUUUUGGUCCAUCCCAAUAAAGAAACAAGCUAUAUCAAGGAAUAUUUGUUUCUCUGUAACAUCUCUUAAACCAUCAAAGCUUACUUUUAGCUUCUUCUGUACUUGAUCAUGGGGAAUACAUUUGAGUUUCUCCAAAACUUUCUGCCACUCUAUUAUUUCACAGUCGGACAAAUAGGACCCGAGGACUUGAAGUGCUAGUGGCAAUCUCCCAGAAUAAGCAAUCACAUUUGUUGAAUGUGUAGCAAAACCUUCUUUUGGACUUGGUUGCUUGAAUGCAUGCCAACUGAAAAGCUCAAGAGAUUCACUUUCGUCCAUUUCUUCUAUUGUAUACACUUGAUCAACUCUACACGAUCUAAGAAGAUGGAUAUCUCUGGUUGUGAUGAUUAUUCUACUCCCAGGACCAAACCAUUCGCGGGUUCCACACAAAGCCUUUAGCUGGUCCAAUUCAUUAACAUCAUCAAGCACAAGUAGUACCCUGUUCUUGGCAAGUCUUUCCUUUAAAAUAUUUUUCCCUGAUUCUAUGUCACGUAUCUUGAUUGUUGUUGUUUUGUAAACAUCACAAAGUACUUGUUGCUGUAGAGAAAUUUGAUUAGUAUCUGUCUCCCAAAAUUCCCUUAUAUUCAGAAGGAAACUCCUUCCCUCAAAUUUUCUCCCAAUUUGGUUAUAAAUUGCUUUGGCAAUGGUUGUUUUACCAAUGCCCCCCAUUCCCCAUAUUCCUAGAAGUAGAACAUCUUCUGAUUUUUGGAUGUUUAGUAGCUUAGUUGCAACUUCCACACGAGAUUCUACGCCAACUGGAUGUUCAGCAAUGAAUAACUCUGUCCUAUCUAGUAAACGAGUGACAUGUUGAACAAUAUUCUUGAUAUCUGCACUUUCAUUCCUAUAAAAUACUACCCAUAUAUUAGGUGCACAAUCAAUUGCAUGUAUAAGCAUUCUCCAAUAUAUGCAUCUAACUAAAGAAAAUGGAGAAUUAUAUGCCAGUAUACGUGCAUAUUUUUAGAGAAAAAAAUGCAUUGUAAUGGGAAUGAAAGAGAAGCACGAACUUUAGUGAAUUGUUGUCAUUUAUUAGAAGCUGUUACUGGUAAGUCUACAAAUUCACGUGCAUAUUUUGAUAUAAUUAGUUGUGAAAUGAUAGAAGAAUAAUAUUAUGCCUCAAAUACUCUUCUCCGGCAUGAUUAUGUUGCAGUAUAAACCCCCCAUAUCUUUUAAUUGUGAGAGAUUAAGUUAAACUUCCACCUCUGGAAUAUAUUAAGCAUUUUUUUUCACAUUUACCAUACUUAUUAGAAUCAUUUUAUUUCUAUUAAAAGUUAUUCAAAAUAGCUUUUGAUUGCAAUCAAAUUUUAGAUUAUGUAACUAUUUUCAAAAUAUUAAAUAAGUUUCUUGAUAAAUUUUAAAAAUGAUAAGUUUUAAAAAAGCUAUUUCUAAAAUGGACAGAUAUUAUUACACCAAGGCUUAAGAUUUAAGAAUUUUAAAGCAUCACAAACAAUAUUCUAAGGGGAAAAAAGAUAACCUAGAAUUUAUGAGUGCAAACCCUGCUAUGCCACCAAUAUUAAAUAGUUCUCUUCUCCAAUUACUCUUUGUGGAUUCAUCUACUGAGAUUGUUGUUAUAAGAUCUUCAAAAGCUUUUCCAAACUGGCCUUCCUGAUGACGUACUUCUGAGGGAUCUACCUCAUAGAACACGGGCACAACCACAAGACCCUUGGUUCUGCCGAUUUCCAUUAUCUUCUCCAACUCUAGCAUACACCACCUUGAAUUAGCAUAAUUUGUAGACAAAACAAUGAUGGAAAUUCUAGACCGUCCAAUUGCUUGCAAUAAUGAGAUUGAGAUAUGGUCUCCUCGUUGAAUCUCCUCAUUGUCUCUAAAAGCAUAAAUCCCCGCAUUUUGAAAAGAGGAAUAGAGAUGUGAAAUGAACUUUGCACGACUGUCUUCCCCUCUGAAACUAAAGAACACAUCGUACAUCUUUGGCUGAAAUAAUCAAAGGAAAGUAAAAUAAUGGAAAUCAAAGCUUAGAUAUACAAUAGCUAAAAUUAUUGAUGCCACUAAUACAUCAUUAACUAUGAGGUUACCGACAACUUAUUUUGUUACUAAUUUAUUUUGCCAAAAUUCUCACGAAUUGAUUUUUGAGGUUCUUGUGAUGAUUAUGAAACCAAAUGUUAACAAACUGAUUUCGUUAAUAUUCACUUUGUUUCCACCGUCACAUAUUUUGGAACCAAAAAGCGCUACAUUGAUGAAACCAAAUGUUAACAAGCUGAGCUAACCUCAAUAUUAUACAUACAUAUAUAUAUAUUACCAUUCACCUGAUUAGUCAUAUUAUUUGAUUCCCUCUUAAUGAUAUCUCUUGCCAUUGCUUGUAGCAGAACAUGCAUUUUAAGCUUGUUAUUAUCAUCAAUGGUUACAAGGCUCUUGUCUUCAAGGAGACUUAUUUGAAGAGCUGCGCAUUGUGUUGACUUGUUUAAUGUUUGGAGUACAUCAUUUUGGUCCAUCCCAUUAAAGAAACAUGCUAUAUCAAGGAAUAUUUGUUUCUCUUCAUCAGUCAAAUCACUAAAACUCUUUUCUAGAGCUUCUAGUAGUUGUGGAAAUGGAAUGGAUGAUCUUUCCAUACUCCUCAACAGACCCUUCCACUGAAGUGCUUCCUUUCCAUGCAAUACUGAUCGAAGAUUUUGAAGAGCAAGAGGCAAUCCCCCAGAACAGGCAACUACCUCUCUAGAAAGUUCAACAAAAUCUUCUGGAGUACUUCUAGCCAGGCUGAAUGCGCCCCGAUUCAAAACUUCAAGCGAUUCACUUUCGUCUAGUUCUUUCACUCUAUAUAUAUGGUCAACUCCAUGCUUCUUGAGUAGAUGUCUGUCUCUUGUUGUAAUGAUUAUUUUGCUACCUGCACCAAACCAUUCACGACAUCCGCAUAAAGCAUUUAGUUGCUCCAAUUUAUUUACAUCGUCAAGUACAAGAAGUACCCUUUUAUGUCGAAGUCUUUCUUUUAAAAUCACUUUUCCUGAUUCAAUUGUAUGUAUCUUUAUUUCAGUUGCUUUGUCGAUAUCAAAAAGAAGUUUCAUUUGUAAAGAAACUUGACCAUUAUUCUUUUGGCAAAUGUUCCGGACUUUUUUGAGCAAGCACUUGUCUUCAAAAUAGGGACCAAUUUGAUCAUAAAUGGCUUCGGCUAUGGCUGUUUUACCAACCCCUGCCAUCCCCCAUAUCCCUAGUAGGAGAGGACAAUUUGAUUGUUUCAAUAGCUGAAACACAUCUUGUGCACUAGAUUUUAUACUCACUGUAUAGAAAGCACUGAACAAGUUAAUCUUCUUGUUUAGCACACAAGUAACACGAUCAACUACAUUCUUAAUAUGUUGAAUCUCUUCGCUGUAUAAAUUAAUAUAUGAAAAAGAGAUGAAAUGCAUGAGUAACUAUACAUAUAACAAUUUUCCAUCACGUGCAUGGCUCAAAAGAAAGGAGGAAUUAAUAAGGUGAGAGCUGUAAAUUGAAAUCUCAACUAUUUGAACCACUAUACAAAAUAGAGUAAUAGACACAUUAAAUAGACAUGACAAAUUGACAGAAUUAAAAAGUUUCAUAAAAAUAGAGUAAUCUAAUUUCAAAUCAAGCAAGUUUUAACUCUAAAUUUAUUGUGUUGCCACGUUGAAAAAGAUAUAAUGCCCCAUAAGAGUUUAUAAAGAGUGACACAUCUCACUUUGUAAGUGUUUCGUUGGGUUCAUGGUGGAAACUCUCGUUCGACCAUAUUUUUAUGAUGUUUUCUUUCUAUAAUGAGAAGCAAUUUUAGUGUUGGAAUCAAUUCAAAGCAGAGGCAACUAUUUGUAGCUUUCAUGUUGAAGUUGAAUCAAUUCUAACUUUUUGCAACUUUUUUUAUACAUGUUAAAACUCUUUUUGGCAAAUUACACACUCAAAAACAAUAUUGAUCUAAUACUGUAAUACAUCCAAACAAUAUCAAUUCCUAAAAAUCACUAUUACAUGAAUGCAAUCCAAAUGUAAACUACUUUACAUACAACUUACUUUUAACCAAAAUCAAUUUUCCCCACCACACAAUCAAACAUACACUAAGUCAACUUUGUAUAAAAACUAAUUAAAAAUACCUGUAAAUAUCCAUAACUAAGAAAUAUCUUGGUCCGGAAUAUUUGUAAGCUUUACUAAUAGCUGCCACCCAACCCAUGAACUUGUCUUCCUCAUUACAGAUUCUAUCAAGAAAAUCAUGAAAAGCCUCUCCAAACAUACCUCUCUGCAAACUUCCGUUCGAGGGAUACACACCAUCAUAGAAUACAGGCAGAACAGUGAAAUCUGAGGUUCGGCUACAUUCAGUUAUUUUCUCCAAUUCUUGAAGACACCGUUUUGAAUUAGCAUAAUUCUUUGAAAAUAUGAUUACAGCAACUUUGCAAUCUCUUAUCACAUUCAGUAUUGAGGUUGGUAUUUCUCCACUUUCAGACCUCUCAUGGUCCCAGAAAACAACAGCUUCAGCUUCUGAAGUAAGAGCCGUAUAUAGAUUCGAAACAAAAGAACCCGCAUCUUCGUCACAUAAACUCAAAUACACAUCGUAGUUUGUAUUGUUUGGAUUAGUAGUGAAGGAAGACAUUGAUGGAUUUGAUGAAAAAUUGGCCAAACUGAGUUAUGAUGAAUCUGAAGUUAAUUCAAGUGAUGCAUGCUUUAAUACCAAAAGUCAAGUGACAUGAAAUGAAAGAAGAAUUCAAGUGAAAUGAAAUGUUUGAAUACCAAAAGUCAAGCUUUAUGCGAUUAUAAAUUACUAAUUCUGAAGCAAAAGGUAUCUGUCUCAAUUAAACUAUAGAAUUAUUAUAACAUACGCACAGACAAGUUGCAAAUAGGUCAACUGAAAAAAAGAAAAAAAAACCGUUGAUUGAUUCAACAGUAAAAAAAGAAGAAAACUUGUGCUUUUGGCGUUGUUCCUAACUUAAAAUAUUCAUAAUUACUCCCAUGAUUUCUUCAAUCCAUAAUUUUCUCAAAAACCUUCAUUAAGUUCAAUUAAUUUAUUUUAUCAAAUUAUUAGGAGUGUCAGCAUCCUAUCCGGUGUCCACGUUAGUAUAUGUGCUUUAUAGUUUAUUUUAAUCACAAAAUGCUUAUUUUAAGUUAAGAACUACAUCAAAAGCACUUAAAGAAAUGCACUUAGUUGAAAUGGAGGGUUUAUGGUUAUUUUGAAUUGACAUAAAAGCCCUUUCUCUGCUAGCGAGUGACUAUGUUCCUUUACAUGUAUACUCUGAAUGAGGAUGAUGAGUAACAAGAAAGUGAUGUGAAUGAAUAGGAAGAUUAUUAUUAUUAUGACUAUGUCCAAAGCUUGAACCCUAGAAAUCACACAUUGAUUUGAGCGAAAAAGAAUAAAAUUUCACAUAAUAAAUAAAUAGGUAUUACUAUUAGUACCUCGAUUGUGCGAAGAUAAUUGGAUACAUAAGGGGGAAUAACGUGUUUUGUGAGGUUUGGCAUUGUUAGCUGUGUGAAGUGCACUAUCCAAUUUAGAAUGAAACAAGAAAUGGUUGUUAGUCGCUGGCAAGUAAUUUUAUUUAUUUUUAUUUAUUAAAUACUACCAUAAACUCACAACGCCAAAUCUUGAAUUCGAACUUAAGAAAAAAACUGUUAAAUUAAUGAUAUCUCCAUUUGUCCGUUGAGUUAAGAUUUAAUGAUGUCAGUGUAAAUUUAUGUAAAAAUGCAAAUGUUUUUCAUUUUAUUUUGCUUAACACCGUUUAAUUUUGUUGAUAGUUGAGUAAUUAAUGACUUUACACUUAAAUAUACAAUUAGUAUUUGGAAAAUGCAAGAAAUUUAGUUUUAGUAUUUAGAAGAUAUAAAAAAAAUAUUAAUUUUGAAUAAUUGAUUAAUGACAAACAUUUAUCAUGUAAAUGAAUUAUAUGUUCCAACAACUUAUACAAACUUCCGUAAAAAAAAUAUAGUUAAAGUAGAGUAAUUGUUUUUGUUUUAUAUUGAUGAUAUUAAAAAAAUGAUUAAAUAUAUUUGUGUUCCCUCUAUAGAACGAGAAACACAAGAAAUGAGUGUUUGAAUUGUAUUUUAUUUUACACUUCCACUAAAUACCUACUAGUUUGAUUGUAUUCAAGUUUACUUAACCUGCUAACUUAGUACAAUCAAGUUGUUGAAGAAUGUAGUCACUACUAGGCUAGAUUACAAAAAAACAAGUUUAAGGAUUUUCUGAAUAACUCUCACAAGAGGGUGUUUACAAUGUUGUACUUUUAGAAAAUAUUUUUCGACACUUAGACAAUAUAAAAGAUAAAGAUCAAGAGUACAUAGACAUUUGUAUAAUGCUUAUUGUUGUACAUUGUUGCUUGUACUUUUCAAUGAGAGUUGCACGUUCUUUUAUAGAAAUAUUUAUGAUUUUUGGUCGUUGUUCAGAUUUAAAGAAAUCAACAUGUAUUAUGAAGUUUUAUUUCAAAUCUUCUGAUAUUGAUUCACCAUUAAACCUUGUUAAAAAUAUCAUUGAAAUUGAUCGUGUGAAUCUUGAUAUGAAGACUAAAGGAGUAGAGGAUAUUAUGAUCAAAUUAUAUCGCGUAGACCUUCAGGGUGUUUAGUAGAUGAUGCGCAAAAGAUUUAUCUUCUUCAAAGCAUUGACUAUUAUUAGAGUGUUGACUUAUUGAAGUGUUGACUAUUAUUAUAGUCAAAUGAUCAAAUGUUUGACAUAAUUUAUCACAUGCAGACGAUCACUUGUUUGUCACACUUAUCAUAAGCAGAAUAGUCAUAUGCUUGUUGUAGUCGUCAGAGUCAAACUAAUUAGAGUUUUGUUUGCAAUAAACAUAAUCACUAGAGUCGCUUUUCAAAGCGCAUUCACCAGACUUAUAGUAUGGAAGUCAAAAGCAAAGUUUUGGCGUUCCUUUAACCUAGAUGUAAGGAUCAUAGUAAACAUCAAAGGAAGUAGCAUGAACUCAUAAGGAAUAACUUAUUAUGAACACUAUACACUAAAAUAAAAUAUUAGAAUUUUAAAUUAUUCCCACAAAAUAUCAUCAUUAAAACAUGUAAGGAUCAUAGUUCUUCAAACCAACAUGGUUCUAACACCCUAUAAAUAUAUUAACUUUCAUUUUUAAUCUCCGUAAAAAAAUUCAUCGAUUAAUAUUCUUUCUAAACUUUUCCGUUACUAAAGUAGGUCAUCGCUGUUAAGAUGACUUAACGGAGCUGACGUGUCACUAGCAUGUAUCCGUUUUUAAUUGAUGUGGCACUAUUAUUGUUUGACCCAGAAUUGAUUUCAUUUUAAAUUAAAAAAAAAGUGAUCAUUAUUGUUUGUUCUGAUUGUUAUGCUGAGUUUGUUUUGUUUCUAGCAAUUUUUAUUUGUUCGCAUUGUAUGUGUAUGUAAUGUGUAUCGUAUGUUUGUGUAAGUGUGCGUAUAGUACCAUAUUGUAUUGUAUGUAUGUUGAGUUUGUUCUCUUUGUUUUGAGUUUGUUCAAUUUGUAAUAAUUUUAUUUGUUUGUAUUGUAGGUGUGUGUAAUGGUAUAGUAUGUGUAAGUGUGUGUAUUGUAUCGUAUUAUAUGGAUGUUGAGAUUGCUCUGUUUCUAGAAAUUUUUAUAGUAUGAAUCUUGUUUUAUAUGGUAUUUUUGUGUUUUUGUUAUAUUAAUAUGAUGCUACUUUCAUAAGCUAGUCCAAUAACUAUAAAUACAAAGUUCACUUUUGUUUUGUUGUUUUGUGCUUGAUUAAUAAUGAGUUUCAUGUUUUUCCUAGAAAAGGACCAUGAAUUAAACAUUGAAUAUGCAUGUGAUAAUCAAUCAAUUUGUAAACUAUUACAUGUGCUGCUCCAUAUGAUAGAUAUUGAUUGUUGAUGUAUUGUCAUGAUUUUGCAUCUUACUAAGGAUUUUUUUUUGUCAAAGACCCAAAGCUAAGGUACAAAGGGGGUGACAUUUAUGCAUAUAAAGGAAUGUGGAUAUGUGGUAUUUCUUUAAAGCAUUUGAUACUAUAAAUCAAAUGGACCUCACUUUUGAUGAAGUUUCAGUUAGACUAUGGUGGAAACAUGAUAGUGGGUCAUUGGAUGAUGACGUUAAGCCAUUCGAGGAUGAUGUAGGUGCUAUUAAAAUGUCAACAUAUAUUGAAGAAACCAAGUGUGAUGUUGAAAUUUAUGUGGAACACAAUAGGUAGACUUAUAUACAAUGUUAUGAUGAAGGCAUCACACCUAUAAAUGGGCAAAAUAAGUGGCCAAAAAUUGAUCAGUCUAACAUUUUGCCUCCUCAAUAUAAGUGUGGACCUGGAAAGCCAAAAAAACACAAACACGAACACGAUUUUGAUAAUGAUGAUGAGGAGGAACGCAUUUUUGGUGAUGAUGAUGAAGAACAAUAAGGCACAUGUGGCAGUGACAUUAAAAUAUUGGAGAUUUUAUUUAUUGUCAAUUAUAAUAAAAUAUAUUAAAAUAUUAAUUAUAAUAGUGACGUUGCCACGUCAAUUAAAAACGAACAAACAUGAAGUAGUGUCAUGUCAACUCCGUUAAGUUAUCUUAAUAGUGAGGACUAAUUCUUGUAACGAAAAAGUUAAGAAAGUUUAUUAUUUGAAGAAAUGUUUUAUAGAGACUAAAAAUAAAAAUUAAUAUAUUUAGAGGGAUCAAAAAUGUAUUUAAUCUUAAAAAAAAAACAAUUUUUAUUUUUAUUUUGUGAUUUCCUAUAGGUUCCCUUCACUUGAGGUAAUACUAUUUGAUGCAUAUUUGAUACUAAAUUUAGGUACCUCUCUUAACAGAUAUUCAUUCAAACUCGAAUUCACCAUGUUUUCGGAGUCUAGCCCCUUCUGCUAGACCCAACAUCUUUUGGUAAAAAAAACUAAUUUUAACUAAUUCUUUAUUGACAAUAUUUGAUGUGCAUGGUUUUUAUUAGGGGUAGACAAGACACUGAGGCCCGCCUGAAAUUGAGAAAACCGAGUGAAAAAAUCAGCUAGCAGGCAUAAAUGGUUGGAAUGAUUAGGGCUUGUUUGAUUGUGUUUUACUUUUUUGUUUUUGAAAACUAUUUUAUAAAAAAAUUAGAAAAAUGUUUAAAAAAAAUAAAUCUAUUUGACAACUUCAAUUUUUAAAACAGUUUUUAACUAGAGAGUUAAAAACACUGAAAAAUAAAAAGUAAAACACUAUUUAUUUGUUUUGCUUUUUUAGUUUUAAAAAUAUAAUAUUAAAAAUAAUUUUACAAAACAGUUUUUUAAAACAAGUAAUCCAAACAAAUUUUUAAAUUUUAAAAUACUAAAAUAAAAUUUUUAGAAUAUAAAUCAAAUAAACCGUUAAUCUUUGGGUUUUGUUUGGAUAGUAAUGGUCAUAAUCAAAUGCCUAAAAUAAACCCAUUCAAAGUCGAAACCGACCGACUACCGUGUUAUUUAUAUACAAAUAGUAAUAAUAGUAUUCUCAAAAUUUAUCAAGGAUGGUCAGUGACGUGACAAGACAACAAUACGUCUUGAGAUCUACACUGUUGCCUAAUAAUUAUUACAUCUCAUUGUAAAAUACAAUUCCUCCUAUAAAAUUAAAGAAAAAAAAGUAACAAUUAUUACACUACAUCUCAUAUCAAAUUAACACAUAGUGAAGUAAUACUAUUAUUAUUAAUACUCUAGUAAAUCUUAUUUUUGUUUUGUUUUUUUAACUUUACUUCUCUUCCCAACCUUCAUUAACAUUGGAGAUUCAUAAAUGUUAUUAGUUUUUGCUCUCGGUAGCUUUCUUCUAUUUUAUUCUUCUCCUUCAUGUGAUGCUGUGAAGGCUUUGAACGGACAUCAACAAGACUUUCACACGGUGAGAUGUGAUGGGCUGAUACUCGAAACAUAAGUUAGUACUUCUUCUUUUUCUUUUUCUAUCAUCCAUUUAAACUCAGAUCUAACAUUUGUCAUUAAGACCGUUCAUGGUUGGUUUUAAAAAAAAAAAUCAAACUAUAUUUAUUUUAAAAUUAAUAUAUGAAUUUAAAUUUAUAACUAAAUUUAUUAUUUGGUUUAAAAUCAGUUAUAAAACUAAUUGUAAAAUUAGUUAUGCUUAAAUAAUCGGUUUAUAAUUAAGCAAUUGAUUUUUAAAAUUUUAAUUUUAAAAUCAAUUUUUUUUAAAUCGGUUAAAAUUUGAUUAUUUUUAAAAAGUCAUUUAUUCAUAGUUUAAAAAUCGGUUAUUUAAAAAACUCAAUUUUUUCGAUAAAUUUUUUUUAAAAAAAAUUUACCAAAUUUUUCGAGAAAAAAAAGUUUUUUUUUUAUUUUUUUUCCGAUAUCUUUUCGAAAAAAAAAUUCAAAUUUUUUUCAAGAAAUAAAAUCUCAAAAUUAACAAAAUAUUGGUAGUGGAUAAAAACCGAAUAAAAACCAAAUUCAACUAUAAAACAGAAGUAGUUAUCCAACCGGAUUAUAACCAUAUGAUUUUAACCGGAUAUUUAACAUGGAUUUGAAUUCGGUUUUGAAUUUGGGCCUCAUAACCGGAUUUUUUGUACAACCCUAUUUGCCAUGGUUGUAUGCAAGAAAUCUAACGACUCUAUAUCUUUCACCCGUUUCAACCAUCCUGUCCACCUUGUUACACGAGCAAAUUGAACUCCUAUGCAAUCGGAGAUGGAUGGAGUUUUCCAAACCGAUGGUUUUCUUCGGAUGAAAGUUUACGGUCCAAAAUUGACCGAACCUAACCGAUUGUCCACCCCUAGUUUUUAUAAUACAUUAUGUCUCUAUAUUAUUUUUAUAAUAUAAAUGACAACAAAAAUAUAAUCAAUAUUUUGGUGAAGCACCGUACUUUUUUUUUCUUAACCAUUUUUUCUUCUUCCUCCGUUAGAGAAAUACUUUAGGGUUAUUUUAGGCCUAAAAUCAUCCAUUUUACUCACUUUGUUCACUCUACCUUUAUUUAAAUUUCUAUAUUUUGCAAGGUACUUAGUCACAUUAAUUAAAUCUGUAUUAUGGUGUUGGAUUGUUGCUAACAAAAUAGGCAGAUUAACUUUACUUUUUCGGACUGGUGUAUUAACCCAUUAGCUUGUAUCGACUCUUUUGACUAGCUGUAAAAAGUUGUAAUAUCCCUUAUAUUCUCUUUAAUAUCAAUUUGCCUAUUAAAAAGAAAGAAGAAUUAAUACAAUAAUACUAUUAAGUUAUAAUAUAAUCAAUAUGUUGAAAGCUAGCCUCUUCUAGUAACAUAUACAAGUUACAAAUAUUGGUGGAGAAUAUUAUUACUACUAUACUAGUAUGCCAAAAAAAAUAAAAAGUUAUCUCACGAUGAAGUUAGAAAAUUAACUAGACUAGAAUAUAAUUCGCGUAUUGCGUAAGAUAUAUAAACUUUAUCAUAUGAGUAGUAUUGUGAAUAAAAUUUUAAAAUUUUAAAAAUAAUAUAAUUUAUUCAUUUUAUCUGUAGAGUAUUCUUUUUAAGUGAAUCAAUCUAUUUGAGUAAUUAUUAUAUAUGAGUUGACAAACACACAUUCGAGAAUAUAUAAAAUAUUUUCAUAGUGAAGAUCAUCCUAAAAACAAAAUUCAUAAAUUAUAUUUAGUGUUAAAAAUCGUAAAAGUAUUUUAAUAAAUAUUAAUAUAUGUAAUUAUCUGCCGCAAAAUCAGAUUAAUCAUACUCUUUUUUGUGUUGUCAAAUCUAAAUUUUUUGUCAAAAUAUUGUUAGAAAAAUAUAAAAAUAAUUUUGUCAUUUGAUAUUCAUUUCAUUAUAACCUUGUUAAAGAAAUGACAAAUCUAAAUUCCAAUAUUUUGAGUAUGAGACUUCUAUACAACAUGACAAACAACUCUUAUGUACGGUGGUGAGUAGAGGUAAAACUCAUGUAGAAACUUAAAAUUGGUAGUAUUUUUUUAAAAAUUGACAAUAUAAAACAUCUCCGUAAAAAAAACAACAAAUAAUUUUUUAAUCUAAAUGGUAAAUAUAUAGUUUUAUCUCCAAGACACAAUAAUAACACUCAUAUAAAGUUGAAUAGGGACAAUCUUGUUUGUCUUUUGAGGAGCCAAUAUACGAUCAUGUCGUAGAUGAAAUCACAUAUGUCUGUAAAAACAAUACUAUAACUAAGAACAAUCAAGAUUUUGAGAAAAAUGAGCAAAUAGGUAUAAUAUCUUACAAAAUACCACUUACUAAAAAGCUAUUUGUGCAAAAAUUAAAAAAAAAAAAUUCCAACUAUAUCUACUUCUUUGAAAAUAAUUGGGUUGCAAAGAGAUUUCCUUUUGAAUUGAUAAAGUGGAAUUGUGAAAACUUAAAUAUGCAUACUGUUUUUCUCAUGACAGUGGUGAAUCUCGAUAUAAAAGUUAAUAGCAUAAUGUUGCGAUAUAAAAGUUAAUUGCAUAAGGCUGCGGUAUAAAAGUUAAUUGCAUAAGGCGUGUUAAAAUAGUUACAAGAAAAAAAAUAUAUUGACCAUUUAAAUAUUUGAGCUUCAGUUACCAAAAUAUAACAACAAAAUAAAUAUUAGAGAUUAUUUGAAGAAGUAGAAUAGUAUACGUCUGAAAAAAAAAAAAACUUAUAUAUUGAUUGUACUUUAAUUUGUAACUCAUGACACAUUAAUAGUUAUACAUAAAAUUAUAUGCUAAAUAAUAAUAAUAAUAAUAAUAUUUAAUAAAGAUGUAAGAGUCUAUUUUAAUAUAUAUAUAUAUAUUAUAUUUUGAAAGAUAGAAAAACAAUUUAUCUAACAACAAUACAAUGUAUUAGCAAAAAUUAAUAUUAUAUUUAUGGAAACAAAAAUUGGCAUAAUAUAGAGUUUUAGUAUCCAAGUGAUAUUUAUUUGAUAAAACACGAUAGACUAAAUAUAUUUUAUAAUUAAAUUUGAUAUAUAUAUAUAUAUAUAUAUAUAUAAUAGAUAAAAUAUGUGUUAAAGCAAAAUGAAAGUUGAAUAAUAACGAGAAUUUAAGAGGAAAGAUCUUUUAGAUGUGCCACAUGAGAUUUUUGUUGAGGUGACAAUAUUUGAAUGAAAUGACAUAAUAUUAGAUGAUGUUUAUGUAGGAGUCUAUUUUAAAAUAAGAUUUUUGUUAAAGUGGCAAUAUUUGAAUGAAAUGACAUAUAUUAUGUGGGAGUCUAUUUUAAUAUAUUGUUUAUCUAAAAGAAAAAAGUUUAAAAACAUGUAAUGUUGGAAGAAGAGAUGAAGAAACCUUUAAAAUGACUCAAUAUAUUAAUCGAAUAGAAAAAUCAAUACCAAUAAUCAUGAGGAAGAACCGUUAUCAAUCAAUAAUGAUAGAGGAAUAAUAAAUGUGGAAUAAAUGAUAACUGAUAUUUAUUGUAUUGUAAUUUGUAACUUAUGGCAUAUGAAUAGUUUUACAAAAUAUUAUAUGAAAAAAAUAUAAUAAAAAAUAAAUUGCAAGUAUGAUAAUAAGAAAGAGGAAGAGUAUUUGUUAGAUAGAUUUUUUUUUUUUUUUAUGUGGCAAUAUUUGAAUAAGGUGGCACAAUAUUUGAUAAAGAUGUAGAAGUCUAUUUUAAUAUAUACAAUAGAUUUGUAACUUAUGGCAUAUGAAUAGUUUUAUAAAAUAUUAUAUGAAAAAAAUAUAAUAAAAAAUAAAUUGUAAGUAUGAUAAUAAGAAAAAUGAAGAGUAUUUGUUAGAUGUGUCAUAUCAGAUUUUUUUUUAUGUGAUAAUAUUUGAAUGAGGUGACACAAUAUUUGAUAAAGAUGUAUGAGUCUAUUUUAAUAUAUAUAAUAGAUAUGAAUAGUUUUACAAAAUAUUAUAUUAAAAAAAUAUAAUAAAAAAAUGAUAGAGGAAUAAUAAAUGUGAAAUAAAUGAUAACUGAUAUUUAUUGUAUUGUAAUUUGUAACUUAUGGCAUAUAAAUAGUUUUACAAAAUAUUAUAUGAAAAAAAUAUAAUAAAAAAUAAAUUGCAAGUAUGAUAAUAAGAAAGAGAAAGAGUAUUUGUUAGAUAGAUUUUUUUUAUGUGGCAAUAUUUGAAUAAGGUGACACAAUAUUUGAUAAAGAUGUAGGAGUCUAUUUUAAUAUAUACAAUAGAUUUGUAACUUAUGGCAUAUGAAUAGUUUUAUAAAAUAUUAUAUGAAAAAAAUAUAAUAAAAAAUAAAUUGUAAGUAUGAUAAUAAGAAAAAUGAAGCGUAUUUGUUAGAUAUGUCAUAUCAGAUUUUUUUUAUGUGACAAUAUUUGAAUGAGGUGACACAAUAUUUGAUAAAGAUGUAUGAGUCUAUUUAAUAUAUAUAAUAGAUAUGAAUAGUUUUACAAAAUAUUAUAUUAAAAAAAUGUAAUAAAAAAAUAAAUUGCAAGUAUGAUAAUAAGAAAGAGGAAGAGUAUUUGUUAGAUGUGUCACAUCAGAUUUUUUUGAUGUAACCAUAUUUGAAUGUGGUGACAAAAUAUUUGAUAAAGAUGUAGGAGCCUAUUUUAAUAAAUAUAAUAGAUAAUAGAUUCUAUUUUAAUAUAUUAUUUAUCUAAAAGAAAAAAGUUUAAAAACAUGUAAUGAUGGAGAAACCUUUAAAACGACUCAAUAUAUUAAUUGAUAGUUAAAACAUAUAAAGAGAAUAAUUGUUAUUAAUAAUCAUGAGGAAAAACCGUUAUCAAUAAUUGUGGAGAAAUAAUAAAUGUCGAAUAAUUGAUAACUCAUAUUUAUUGUAUUAUAAUUUGUAAUUUAUGACAUAUGAAUAGUUUUACAAAAUAUUAUAUAAAAAAAUGUAAUAAAAAAUAUAUUGCAAAUAUGAUAAAAAGAAAGAUGAAGAGUAUUUGUUAGAUGUGCCAGAUCAGAUUUUUUUUUUUUUUUAUGUGACAAUAUUUGAAUGAAGUGUCACAAUAUUUGAUAAAGAUGUAGGAGUCCAUUUUAAUAUAUAUAUAUAAUAGAUAAUAGAAAUAUAGUUUCACUUUUACAAAAUUCAUAAGAUGUCAUUUUUUUUAUAACAAAAAGUUAAGAUGAAUUGGUUUUAGAGGUUAAUCUGAAUUAGGGCAGACUUCUAGAUUCAAAUUGCACUAACAUUGUUAUUUAUUGAUCACCCACUAAAAAUGUCCUUGCACCAACAACGACAUUUAAACACAUAUCCUUGUAAAGAAUGAAUUAAACACCUUACAAACCAAUCGAAAAUCCAUAAAAUGCAAUUGCAAACGAGACAAAGAUGGUAAAAUAUACAACUUUCGAUAAAUAUUUGCUUAAACACAACAAUAAAUAAAUAAAUAGUGCUUAGACACUCAAAUAAAUAAAAAUAAAAAUAAAAUAUUUAUUUAUGAAAUAAUUAAAUGAUAUAGAUAUUUUUUAUGUGAUUGUAUCAAAAUAUUAUUUAUUUGUGCUUGUGCCUAAACUUUCAAUUCAAAUGAAAGUAAAUAUCUUUUAACCACUCUAUUUAGGUAUCUCAUUUUUUCAUAUAAGUUUUAUUCUUAUUUUUAUUCUUAUUAGCCACUACCACAUGCAAAAACUACACUUAAAAUGAAAAGUAAAGCAUAACCUCUAUAUAUAUAUGGUUCAAAUUAUUUGUCUUUAUAUGACCAUACAAUUCACAAAAUGACACAACUACAGUGUAACAUUAUUAGUGAAAUUGAAUUUAUCCUUGUUCAUUUCUUCAUUUAAUUAAAACCAAUAGCAUGGCUAUAACAUGAAAAAGGUAAUUCAAAUAUUUUAUGUUCACAAAAAAAAUUAGAAGGUACUUAUCCAAGUCACAUUCUUAUUCUUUUUUCUCCUAUUUUUUGUCACAUUGUUUUUACUUUACUUUUCAAUUUUUAAAGUCCUCCCUCAAUGAGUUGUGCUUCUAAUCAAUAUUUUGAUGUAAGUAGGGUAAUAUAUUUUCCAAAAAGUUAAAGAAUUAAAUAAAGUUGAAAUUAAGCAACAAAUAAUGAAGACAGAUUUUGAUAUAGAAGUAGGGUAAUAUAUUUGCCAAAAAAUUAAAGAAUUAAAUAAAGUUGAAAUUAAACAUUAAAUAAUGAAGACAAAUUUUGAUAUAGUUUCGAUUUAUAAACAAUGACAGAAAACGGUCUCUUCAAAUUAUGCCAAAAUUUUAUAUACACUAACAAGUCUUUAUAAAACUAUCAUUUUGAACACACUCUUUUAUCAAUGAAACAUAAGAAUCAUUUUGCAAAAUUGAUAAAAUAAAUAGUCAAACCACAAAAAUAGGGUCAAGCUCAGUUAAUGUCAACUAUCUCAUGGUUUGAUUAUUUCCUACUAUUAUUCAAUAUGCAAACAAAUAAUGCCAGAGAACAUUUUUAAUUUUUGUUAUUAUUUUUAAAAAAUAUGCAUGUUGACUCAACAACAUAACCAUGUGUAGGAUUGUUACGUUGACUCAAGAACAUAACUAUGUGUAGGAUUGUUAUGUGUGGCUAAACAUUAUACUUACUUAAAAAGUCAUAUUUUAUAGAAUUUAAAAAUACAUUUAACUCUAUUAAAGACAAGUAGCCAAUUUUAUCUUAUUGGAACUUACAUUUAUUCAUCAAACCAAUCUAUAAACUAAAGAAUUUAACAUUAUUAUGAAGAAAAAUAAAAUUUUAACAGUAACUCUCGUUAUAAUCUAAACCUUAAAUUUUCUAGCUACCAAAUAAAAACUCUAUAUAUGUGAAUAGUAAACAUGUAUGAUAUAAUGACUAAUUCACCAACUACUCCUCUUAUCAAAUUACUACUUUGAUCAAUCUCUUUUGUUCAAUAAAGCAAAUAAAUCAUCUUUUCAAUUUGAUUAAAAUCAAUAAUAAUUUGUCUUUACAUGCAUGAUAAAUUUAUGAGCUGUUUACUUUCUCCUUUUUUUAAUAAUGUUGGUUUACAUUUAUUUAUCAUAGAAAAUACUAAUAAGAAAAUGACAAAUAACUUGUCAUAAAAUGAUAAAUUAAUAUAUUUCCUUUUACCUCUUACACCUAAAAGAAUACCUUUUUAUACUUUUGUUGCAUAAAACUAAACAUACGCCUAUCUAUCAAUUUUGCAAAUCAAAAGUAUUAUUACUCAUAUGGUGAUUGAUUUUUCUGAUUUAAUAUAAUGUAUGAAUAAGAUAAAUUACAGAAAAAUAAUGAAAACGAAGAUAUUAUCCUAGUUCUUCUUAUGACCAAGGGUACAUCCAGUCCUCUUGCACACUACAAUAUAUUUUUCCACUAUUAUCAGAAAAUGUACAAAUCCCACCCAAGGAUCUCUGCUACAAACUUCUAACAAAAACUUCCAAGAUAACACACCACUAUCUUAGAUUAGACUACUUUAAGAAAGUACUACUUUCUUUUACAAAUAAUGUAAUUUGAUUUGGAAUAAGAAUAAGAAUGGUUUAAUGAUAUCAAUCCAAUAUUAUUUCAAGAGUAUUUUGAGAACCUUUCUCAAUGAUAUGAAAAUGUAAUACAAGUACUUGAAAUAAAAAAAAUAACUUUGAAAAAAAAUAAAAAAUUUGUUCAAGGUUUGGUAGUAGGAUUGUAUGUCCAUUAAUAUAAAACUAUGGGGUAUUUAUACUCCAUAGAUAUCACUUCAAAUAGGUGGCCAUUGUUCCAAGAAUUUUGAUGAACAAAUGCAUUGAUCUAGAGCCAUUUCAGAUAUGAAAAAUUGCAUUGUUUCCAGUUGUAUUCGAAUAUAGUAUGUAUGUAUUCGAAUACACCUAAGAAUCCCACAUUGGAUGAACUAAGACUUGACAAAAUAUUUAUAAAUAAUGGAUAAUUUUUAUCUUAAAAAUCACUUUCGUGAGAGUUGUGCAAGAUUCAAUUCAAAUUUCAAGAUGAUAUUAAAAUUUAUUUAAAAUCUAUUGAACUAUCACGUUCCUGAAUCCCAUCCCGACUCCCUUACCACUUCCUCUCUCUCUCUCUCUCUGAAUAUAAUAUAUAUGGUUUGCUCUACAUAUCACACUUUUCUUCUCUAAUAAUAUUUUCUUCCUCUUUACAUAUACGCACACCCCCACAUUUCUUCCUAUCCUUGUUUUCAUAGUAAUCAUCAAACGUUUCAUUAUUAUUCCAUAUUAUAUAUAUUUUACCCCACUCUCUAACCUCUACACUACAAAUUAACCUCAUGCUUUCACUCCACAUCCUAUCCUUCUACACUCUCCAAUUGGUUAACACCAAUUCCUUUUUUAUUACAUAUGUCACAACACACAACACCACUCAACUCUGCUAAUUUGUGUUGCUAAUUUAUUAUAUAUAAAUAUAAUGUUUUUAUUUGAUAAUUUUGAUUAUAUGGUUUUUAAUAUAAAAGCACUUAUUCAUUUUCUAAUUGGUCUCAUACAUUUAUAUAUGCAGUACUGAAUUAACUUGAUUGUUUCAACUUACAUUAGUCUCUCGGACAUACAGGGGAGGAGACAAAGGCAUUAUUAUUUUUACUAUACUUACGAUAAAUUUUCUUUUACAUUUUUAGCUUAAAUAUUUUAUAUUAUGUUUAAUUAAUAAGAAUAAAUAUAAUGCUCUAAUUAAGAAUAUAACCGGUUGUAUUAAACUUUUAGUUAACUAUAUGUUAAUAUUAUUAAUCAUUAAGUGAUCGAUCACUCCCAUGGAGCAUAACGAUCAAUUAUGCAUGUUUUCAAUAACUUUUGGUAGCAUUUAGGUUCUAGAGCAUAGUGGUUUUCAUAAAAAAAAAAAAGAAAAAAAAAAUUGCUAUUGAACAAAGAUAUAUCAUAUGAAGGUAAGGUUGGAUUAGAUGCAUAAUUGCUCAUGAGCUCCAAUAUAAAAUUCGUUAACCUGAACAAAACAUUAUUUUCAUUCCUUCCUUAGGAACAACAUAAAUAGUAGGUUGCAAAAAUAAAAAGUAUAAACUAAUAUAACAUAGUAACUCAUCCAAGUACAUCAAGUAAUCUAUAAAAUUCUGCCAAUUUCCAAUCUGCAUUGAAGAACAACAAUGUCAGUUUUUCUUAAGGAGGAAUAAUUUCAAACAAUGAAUAUAAUUCAAGGAACCCCAAAACUGCAAAAUAAAAAAUAUUAACCACAUUAAUACAAGAAAAAGAAUCUAUAAGAAUAAGAAAGGAAAUAAAUAAAUAACUAAAUAAAUAAAUAGAUUUGGAAGAGAGAAAUGGAAAGUAGAGAGAAUGAGAGGCAGGUGCCACCCAAAAUAUGCAACACACGUAAAUAGAUGUAACCAAAAUAUUUUAAAACAAAAAUUCAACCUACACGUUUUCUGUGGAUAUAGAAAAUGAGAUAGAGAAGGAAAAUGUCAAAAAAAUAAUAUAACUGAUUCUUGUUAAACUUAUAAAUAUCAAUAUAAAUCAUAUCAUUUAUCUUCUUUGAUUUUAUAUUACUAUCAAUGAUUUAAUGCAGAGACCUUAAUAAUGACAUUUUCAAUUAUGCGUGCAUUGAUGACACAGUCUUGUGUGUGCAUUGAUGAUAUUAAACUUUGUGCGUAUAUUAAUUACACACUUCAAGUGGUCUUUACUAUUUUAGUGAAUUUAGAUUAAGUAGAAAUUAAAGUUUUGUUAAUUAAAACAUAUAUCUCUAAAUCAUCUAUCAUUGGUGCUUUAGUAUAACUAUUGACGCAUUAAUUCUUAUUACACUUAUAAACAUCAAUGUAAAAUCAUAAAAUUAUUAUCGAUGAAACAAAAAUAAAAUAAAGGCAUUCACUUUGUAUAAACCAAUAUUCUAAAUAAUUCACUUAUUUUUUUGAUGGAAACUAAUUAGUCCAAUUUCCAACAUGAAAAACUAAUUAUAGUAUUCUCUUACAUGAAAAAUAUACAAAGUUUAUUGUUGAUGGUGCUUGUUUUGCCCAAUUCACAAACAUUUUAUCUUUCAUUGCUUUCAGUCAAAAAUCACAUAAAUUCAUUCACCUCAAUUGGUUCACCACUUUUGCAGUCACGUGUUAUGUGAUUAUGAUGACUUGUGUGCCUCUCAUGUGCUUGUGUUGAAAUUUGCAACAAAAAUCUCCAGAUCUUAAUUUACAGCUUGUCGAAACAAAACAAAAAAUCAACAAAAGCAAAUGCAUCCACAAACCCCUUUUUUUUAUUAUUUCUAUUACAAUGUAGAAAUAUUCCACUAAAAUAGUUGUUUACAUGUUUGUGAAAAGUUAUUUUAAAUAAGUAUGAAGCUCAAACAAAAGAUUGCUAACCACAAAUUUGUGAUAACUGCAAGGACUGUAUUGUGGACGAUGUUAUAAGAUGUUUUGAAGAAGAAAUAAAUUGAUAAAUACUUUCUAUUUCAACUCAAACACACACGUAUAUGAGUAAAUGGAGAUAAACUUCGAAAAUAAGAAUAAAUUGUUGAAAUCUACUUAUAUUAAUAGAGGAUGUAUAUAAUAAUAUGCAUCGAAUAAGGCUCGAAUAAAUGAAUAAAUUGCCUUGAACAAUUCUUGGAAUAUGAAGGAUAAUCCUUGAACAAAUGAAUGAUUGAAUGCAUGAAAUGAGAUUAGAAUACAAAAUAAUCAAUGAAUGGAAUGGUUGUAAUGGGAAUUUAAAAGGACGAUUAAUAUUCUGUUUGAUUGUGUUUUACUUUUUAAUUUUUAAAAAUUAUUUUAUAAAUAAAUUUUAGAAAACUGUUUAUAAAAAGAAAAUUUUAAAAAAAUAUGUUUGGCAAUUUCAAUUUUUAAAACAGUUUUUGUCUAGAAAGUUAAAAAAAUUGAAAAAUAUAAAGUAAAACACUAUUUAUCUACUUUGUUUUUUUUGUUUUAAAAAGUAUAGUAUUAAAAAUAGUUUUACAAAACAAUUUUUAAAAACAAAUUAUUCAAAUAAGUUUUUUAAUUUUAAAAUAUUAAAAUAGAAUUAUUAAAAUUAAUGUGAAUCAAACAAACGAUAAGUAAUUAUGCAUUAAUUAUUAUACAGUUAAGCUGCUAAAGAAUGAGUGGACUAUUAUGGAUUAGAUUGAUGCCAAUUUUAGAAGGAGUAUUAGGAUUUUAGAGAUUUUAGGAUUGGGGGACUUAAUAGGAUUUAGAUAUAAUAGAAAUAGAUUAUGGUUGAGGUCUUUUCUGUAAAAGAAAUUGUCAUUUAAUGUGUGUUUAUUUUCCAAACACUGAGAAACUAUGGCACCUCAUUUGCACCAUGAAAAUACACAUUUAUAAAAUCAUGUAAUAUCAGCAACAAAAAACUUGAGGGGGUGGUAAGAGUUUAGUUGUAAUUUCAAGAUAUGAAUUUAAAUUUCUACAAAGACAAUGUAAAAUAAUUAUUAGUAUUAUUUUGAUUAAUAUAAAAAGUUCGCUUUUUGCAAUUUUAUUUUUAAAUAAAAAACAACAAAAGACAAAUGCAUAAAAUCACAUAAAAAAAUCAAAUAAUUUCAUAAAAAUAUAAAACCACUCGUGAAAGAGUGAUCAAAUCAAACUAAUUAUUGAUUUUUUUUUUCUCAUGUUUUAUAAACAUAAAUAUUAAUAAAAUUAUAAUUCCAAGACUACACGUACAAACUUGUAUUUCACGCAUGACAACACAUUGGAUAAGUAUAUAUAAUUGCAACAUAUAGAUAGUUAGAUACAUUGAAAACAAAAGCGUGAAAUCCCAAAUUUCGUUGUUUGGGUGUGUUUGAUAGAUUUGGAAGAAAAUUAACAUUUAAGGAGAAACACAUAAUUUCAUAACCUUAACGUUGUGAUACCGCAUGAAAAUUUUAGUUUUCGAUUAAGAAUUUAUAUUCAAGAAAAUUAUUAUAAUUAUAAAAACAUUAAAAUCAUACAUUAGAGGAUACACUUUCUUUCAUGAUUGUACGAUGAAAGAGAGUAGAGACAAUAAUACACAAUCUUUCCUUUUUCGUUUGUUAUUUUCCAAAAUCAUUUGUUGAGGACUAUUAGCAGAGUAAGCUCAUAGAAAAUACAUAAUCCUUUUUCGAAUAUUAAUGAUCAGUAACUCUCAUCAAGUUACCAUUAUUUAUAAAGGUUAUUAACAUUUCUUAAUAAUAACACAUUUUCACUUUAUUUAAUAAAGUAAAUUUCACAAGAAUAAUGAUAAUUAAUUACAUUAUUCUUACACAUAAAGAACAUAAACAUAUAACAAAGCACAACAAGACAAAAAGAAGAGAAAAUAAUGCCAAUAUAAUUCCCACUUAGAAAUGCUCAUUGGCCUAAUUUCAUCCUUGCACCUAUGCAUAAGCCCCAAUUUCAUCCAAAAAAAAGUUAACUCAUGAACAUAAAUUCAUAAUAUACACAUAUCAACUAAGUUGUAAAUUCAUAAUAGAGCUGGGACCAUACGAAGAGGUGCUUUGCCUAGUACCAUGAAAAAGGUAGAACGAUUAUAAAAUUUCAUAAUUUGACGGAAGUAAUUGAGCAAGUUAUAAAUGACAAGAGUCAAUUUUGGCUUUUUAUUAAAGUUUACACAUGUUAAAGUUUUCUUAAUUAAUUUUCAUUUUACUAUCCUUAUAUAUGGUAAAUAAAAAACAAGCAUUAUAUGUUUGUUAAUAAUGUUACAAUAUGACAACAUUAGGCUUAUAUAUUAAUGUGGACUUUAAUGUUGUCCCCUUGAGACUUACAAGAAGCUAUUGUUGAUACGUCUUAUGAUGUCUUUGUAGGGAGUCCAGAUCCUCUUAUAGAGUGUUUGGUGAACCUUGUGAUUAAGAUAUAUUUUUAUUAUUUCUUAGUUUUAAAUUUUAGUUUUAUUUUAUAUUUUAGUUUUAUUUUAUCUCAAUUAGGUUAUUCUAUUGUUUUAUUUACAUAUUUGGCAUAGUCGACCUUUGCAUGCCUUAAUCAAUGAAUUGACCAGUCACCAAUUACAAUUGAGAUUAUAAUUCUUGUAUGAUGAAAUAUAUAUACUAAUCUUUCAAUCACUUAACCUCUUGGUUCUUUAUACUUUCUCUUAAUUAUAUUUUUUGUAUGAUCAAUCAAAAAAUCAAUUUAGAGAAAAAAAAUAUUACAUUGAAUGACGAAUCUUUUUAAUAGUUUCAAAGAGGAAUUGAUAAUUGAGAAAAUAAAUAAGAAUUUAUAUAAGCCUAGGACUUGAGGUAUUGAUUUUACAAGUGAAACUAUGACCCUAGCUAUGUUUACUUUCUAUUAAUUCAAAGUUGUGUUGUUACAUAUUCUUAUCAUAAUUUUUUAUGUUAUCGUUACGUUUUUGUUAUAGCGAGCGGACCAGCAAUAAUUUUGACGAGUCUAAAUAAUAUAAAAACUUGAUUAGUUUAGUAAUUGUUAAAUUAAUCUAUGUAGAUAUGAUAAUCUUAUAUACUAUUACUUGACAAAUCCGUACAUUUGCGAAAUUUUGCACAACAAUCACCACCACCUUUAGACAACCAAUGUCCAGCAACCAUAGAAGCUCUCUUGUGUUAAUCAUACGGGUUACAGAAAAAUAAAACAAAAUAUAAGUUUUAUUACAUCUCUAAUCCACAGCUAAACUGCAACAUGCUCUGAAAAAUGACCAUAAGACAGACUUAUCCUUAUGACCUGCAAAAACCAUUCUAUGUGAUUUACAAUGACAUGUUUGUAGAUAUUGGACCUCUGCUACAACUACAGGGACCUUCUCCUCUUGAAAUUCUAGACUUCAUUGUCCAUGUUUUGAAGGUUGACCAUCAUUAGUGUAGUACCUCAAUUUUGUCCUAUAAAAUAAAAAUAAUUUAAAUAAAAAUAUGUUUGUCUAAAAAUUAUAAAAAAAUUGUAGUAGAUUUAUAUUACAUUUUAAUAUAAAUAAAUAAAUAAAACCAACAAAAAAAAGAAAUAAAGAAACUUAAAAUAAAAGAGUCCCUAUUUCUCUGAUUUGGCGUGUGCUAUUUCUUGUUUUGACGUGUACAGUGCCGUAUCCAUAUGAGGUUGCGUCUCCAUAUGGAGUUGCUUGAUCAUGUUGUAAAAGCAGUGUAAAAUCCAGAACAACAACCCAAACCAGUGUAAAAUCUAGAACACACAACCACUCCCCUUAAAUUGUACCAGUUUGCUUGCUUGAUGUAGUUGUCAAACCAGUUUAAAAUCCAGAAAUUUACAACCCUUCAUCGUUUUUGUCUAUAUAUUGAAACAAAAAUUCAAUAAGAGAAAGAAAGAAAUCAGACGAUAAAAUUGGGAUUUUCCUUUCUUUCUGAUUCUGGUUUCCAAAAUACAAUAGAAAUAGAGCAAUAUCAAAGAAGAAGAAGAAUCUGCCAUCAUACUUUUUCCAUCAACCCAUAACCUUAACCUUAAAUCACUAACAACAAGGGUAUUUUCCUCAUUCAUAGGUUUGCUGUUGUAUAUUAUUGAAAAAUUGAAUUUUUGUUUUUGAUGUGUAUGAAUAGAGUUUUGGUUGAGAUUUUUGAUGUGUAAUUAGAUUAGUUUUGUACUAAGUUUCUGCUUCUGUAUUUUGAAUACUUGUUUACCCUGUUAGGCUGAUACACAUUUCACCCACGCCAAUUGUUUGUUAGUUGUAUUCCAUUCUAUUCUACUGAGUAUGGAUUGAUUUAAUAAUAUAUUUGUGUGGUGGAUGAACCUUUUUUUAGUUUCUCUAUUUUCAGUAUUUAUUUCUUUUAAUUAUAAUAAUUCUAUUUUAAUGAUGGACAUAAUUAAAAGGUGAUAAAUAUCAUUUAUUUUAAGUUAUAGUAGUUUUUUUUGGUUUAUGCUAUUUAGUUUUAAAAAUGAAUUUUAUUUCUUCAUUUAUUAAAUUUUAGAAAAAAUAGUUUAAAAGAGGGUUACAUUUAUAAUUAGUAUUAAAUUUUUUUUUUAUUUAUUUAAUAGAUUAAGUUACAAGUCUAUAUAUUUUUCUUUUCACUAUUUUAUUUCAAAAAAAUCGUUUAAACUUAUUUAAUAUGUAGUAUCAAUUUUAUUUUUUUAUUAUUUUUGAAGUUGUUAAGAUACAAAUUAAACUAUUUGUUUGUUUUGAAAUUCAAUUUAAAAAUAAAAAAUAAAAUAUUCUUAAGAGGAUUAAAUUAGAUGUGACAUCUUUUUACUCCUCGAGUUUUGAGACACGAGUUGUACAGCUAGAUCGUUUUAAAACUCAUAUUUUAAAAUAAUUAUUCAAAUCAAACAAGUUUUUUUUUUAUGUUCGUCAAAAUUAACUUUUUUAAGUAACAAAAUACAAUUUAUUUAAAAGCAAUCAACGCAUUCACAUUUUUCUACCAAGAACUACGUAGCUUUGAUUUCUCCAUCGCACCGGGAGAUACGUAGGAGCAAGAUCACACUCUUGUCAAACACACUAAUAAAAACUUUCUUUUUUUCCACUCUUUUUUAACACACUUUUAUCUCAAAAAAUCACAUUUAUAAAAAACAAUUUAUAUUCAUAUUUAAUAAUAAAGAAAAAUAAAUAUAUUUAAGUUGAUAUAAUUUUACACAAUUAAUUAAUGGUAACCGUAUUUUAACGGAUGUCGUAGGGUGCUAAUACCUUCCUACGCAUAAUCGACUCCCGAACUCAAAAUCUAGUUUCAAAGACCAUUUUUACAUUUUUAAGGGUUUUCCAAUAUUUUCCCUAUUUUAAAAUAAAUUUUGGUGGCGACUCCAUUGAAUUCGAGGAAAACUCGAAAUUUUAGGCCGCGACAAUUAGUUAUAGGACCAAAUAUCAAUCUUAGCUCAUCAACAGUUAUUUGACCAACAUGCAACAAUUUUAUAUUAGAUUUACUUUACAAUAACUUGUUAAAUCCUCACUAUGUAUUAGGGAGAUUUAGUUAGGAUUAUAUUUGUUAGUUUUGUUUAGUUAAAAGUUGUUAGCUUUGUUAGUUACAAGUUAACUAACUCAAUGGUCAGCUCCUAAUGUCUGUAUAUAACAGCUGAUACAAGAGCACAAGAAUGUAAUUUUUCAUUCAAUCAAUAUGAGGUUUAUUUAGUAAAACUUAAUCUUCAUUAUACCAUCUAUUAUGGGAGUCUUGAUCAUUUUGUUGAUCGUUUUUCUUGAUUCUUUCAACAAUGGUUAGACAUAACAUCAGCAAUACCCAUAGCAAUUUGAACCAAGGGAACCUUGACCUUGCGCAAAACAAUCACAACCCUUAUUAUAUCCAUCCAAGUGAAGGACCUUCAUACCUCACAAUCACACCUUUUUUCAAUGGCUACAACUAUCAUACUUGGAAAAAAUGCAUGACACGAGCACUUCUUGGAAAAAAUAAAUUGGAAUUUCUUGAUGGAAGCAUCCCUCUACCUGACACUUUCGACCCUGAACACAAGUUAUGGCUUAGAUGCAACAACUUGGCGCUUUAUUGGAUCAUCAAUUCAGUUUUUCCCUCUAUUGCUCAAAUUUUAGCCUUCAAGGACAAUCCUCACACAUUAUGGAGUGAACUUAAAGGCAGAUUCUCACAAAGUGGUUUGAUUAGAAUUUCAUAACUACAAAAAGAAAUGCAUUCUUUGAAACAAGGUGAAUGAACCGUUUCUGGUUAUUUUACUGCCCUUACUGUGAUUUGGUAGGAAUUGUACAAUUUAAGACCUAUUCUUCAAUGUACUUGUGAUCUUGCAAAAUAUACAAAAGAACAAUUUCAGAUUAAUGGAACCUAACCUUGCGUAAUGGCCUAAAAGAACAAUUUCUACAAUGGAAACAUGGUAAUACAAAUGAAAAUUCAUAUUCCAAUGUGUUUGCAAAUGCUGUUGAUGGAAAAAUAUACUAUGGAAAAGGAAAACGUGGACGCAAAUCUUGCACUUAUUGUGGAAAAUUGAGACAUUCUGCAGAAGUAUGUUACAGAAAACAUGGCUUUCCACCAAAGCCAAAGAAUACUAGUUAUUCAAAUAAUUCCUAUAGGGAAGAAAGUGUUGGAAGGUCAGAUGAUGAUCAAGAUCUAGAAAAAAAAGUUAUGGAAGCAAGGAUCGAGCUCAUUUCUCUCAGGAUCAUUUAAAAAGCAUCAUGGCCUUGAUUUAACAAGUUACCCUUGAAUCAAAGCAUUCUGCAAACAAUAUGAUGUCUUCAUGACAAGUUUAAUUGACACCAACAAAAUAUUCAACAGGUAAAACAACCAACUAUUAUUCUAAUUUUGAUCUAGAAAGUGAAUCUAGGAUAUUGGAUUUUGGUGCCACAAAUCAUAUUUGUUUUAAUUUGAAUUCCUAUUCCAAAAUUUUCAAAAUCAAUCCUAUUACUGUCAAUUUACUAUAUAGGCUAUUGCACAUUAUGCAAGAUCAAUCAUAUUUACUAACUAUUUAAGAUUACAUGAUGUGCUAUAUUUGCCCCAAUAUUUUUUUUUUUUUAAUUUAAUUUCUAUUGCUAAGUUAUGUAAAUCAAUCCAAUGUUCCAAUAUUUUUCAUACUAAUACUUGGGUUAUACAGGACAACAAGACUUUGGGGAAGAUUGGUUUAGCUAAGUUGCAAUAUUGAUUGUACUUUCUCCAAGAGUCUAAGCUAUAAUAUAGGUAUUUAAAAACAAUGUAAAUAACAUACAUAACAUUUAUGUAUGUACUCUUUGACAUUUUAGAUUAGGACAUGCAACAAACAAAUGUACUCUUACUAUGAGUAGAUGUUUUCCUUUUACUAAUUCUGCUAAGCAUAUUUGUGACAUUUUCCAUUUUUCUACACAAAGAAAAGUAAAUAAUUGUGUUAGUAAAAGCAAUGCUUGAUGAUUGCACUAGAUAUCCAUGAGUUGUUUUUAUGAAGCACAAAUAUGAAACCAAACAUCACCUUAGCAAUUUUGUUAACACAAUCUCCACUUGAAUUAAUGCUAAGUUAAAUGUGUUGCGAAGUAAUAAUGGACCUGAGUUCAUUUGUUUUGAUUUUUACUCCUCUAAAGGUAUUAUCCAUCAAACAAGUUGUGUGGAGACCCCCUAAUAAAAUGGAAGGUUUGAAAUAAAGCAUCCACACAUACUUGGGGUGGCUCGUGCUCUCCUUUUUCAAUCUAAUCUCUCUAAAGGUUUUUGGUUAUAUGCUAUUGCUCCUACUAUUUAUAUUAUAAAAAGAAUUUAUACUCCUAUUUUGUCUAAUAAGUCUCUUUUUGAGGUUUUACAUAGAUAUUUACCUUAUCUGAGUAACCUUAGAAUUUUUGGAUGCCUUUGUUAUGGUUCAACUCUUGUUUCCCAUCGUUUGAAGUUUGACCAUAGAGCUAGAAAAUUCAUUAUUCUGGGUUUCAAACUAGGAACAAAGGUUUUUGUGCUAUAUGACUUGGGUAACAAGGAAACUUAUGUUUCAAGAAAUGUCACUUUUGAGGAGUUAAUAUUCCAUUAUAAAGCUGAUUCAGAUCAAUCUUCUAAUGUUCAUUAAGAGUGUGUUGAAAUUGACCAUCCUAAUGGACACAAUAAUCAAGUCCCAAUCCAUGUUAUCAGCCUUGAUGCCCAAGCAACGAAUCAUGACUCAUCAGACUUUGAUCAUGAGCCUAGUCUAGCCAGCUUCCCUGAGCCAGAUUCAACACAAGCUCGUGAGCCUCCUGAAGUCAGCUCACAUGCACAAGCCUCAACACAUGAUAACAUUUCUUCUCCUGCCUCAACCUUCAACAAUGGUGGUCCUAGAAGGUCAAUAAGGACAUCUAAUCUACCACCUUACCUAAGCAAUUAUAAUUGUAAUAUGUAUACAACAUCAUAUACUCUCUAUCCAAUUUCAAAUUCUGUUUCUUAUACUAGUCUCUCAACUAUGUAGAAAAUUGGAGAAAGGCAUUGACAGAGGAAUUAUAAGCACUUCAAGACAACAAUACUUAGAAGAUUGUUGAUUUACCAGCCGGAGUCAAGCCCAUAGGAAGUAAAUGGGUGUUCAAAAUCAAAAGAAAGCAAGAUGGGACUAUUGACAAAUACAAGACAAGGUUGUUUGCUAAAGGAUACAAUCAAAGGGAAGGACUUGACUAUUAUAACACUUUUAACCCAAUCACUAAAAUCAGGGUUCUACUAGCUCUUGCAUCAAUUUUCACAGAUCUUUUGGCAUCAACAUAUUGGUCAAUUGAAGUAUUUCAUAGGGUUGGAGGUGGUUGAAUCUAGCAGAGGGAUAUUCAUUUUUCAAAGAAAAUAUUGUAUGGAUAUUCUCACAAACAUUUUGACAUUGUUUGUCAUAUUGUUAUAAGGAAAGCCAACCAUGAAGCUACUCCAUGUCUCCAGCACUGACUAGAUUGUAGAUUUCUUCACCAAAGGUCUUAAUCCAAGUAAUUUUUCCAUUUUCAAGUCCAUGCUUGGUCUUCUAGAUAUAUAUCUUAGCUCAUCAGCAGUUACUUGACCAUCAAGCAACAAUUUUAUAUUUGGUUUACUUUGCAUGAUUGUUAAAUCCUCUCUAUGUAUUAGGGAGAUUCAGUUAGAAUUAUGUUUGUUAGUUAUGUUCAGUUACAAGUUGUUAACUUUGUUAGUUACAAGCUAACUAACUCAAAUGGAUAGCUCCUCUAGUCCCUAUAUAUAGCAGCUGAUACAUCAGCACAUGAAUGUGAUCUUUCAUCAUUUUUCAUUCAAUCAAUAUGAUGUUUAUUCAAUAAAAUUUAAUCUUCAUUUUACCAUCUACUAAUUAGGCUUUAGAAACACCUCAAUUUCGUGCCACAUCUACAUAAUUGUUAUAUAUUUUUCUUUUUCAUAAUAAUAUAAUAUUGUAAUAUAAGUUGAACCUAAUUCCUUAAAUUAUUUCAAUUCUGAAACCAAGUUUUGAGUUCCCACAAGCUACAUUCCAAUAAAAUUCCUCGACUUAUUUAGUCAUAUAAAUCCACAUGUCAAAAUAGUCGUUUGUGUAUAUUACAUUAAUGAAAACUAACACAUCAAAAUUGAAAAUUGAAAAAAUGACAGUAACAGAAAGAAAGGCUCCCUCGAUCAAAGCCCACUAACAACAACGCCUAAUGUUUGCCUAUAGAAAGCACCAUCAUUGUGUUGGUUAUCAUUCUCUCCAUUAAGGGACAUUUGUACAGCUUUCAUUAGCUGCACAACUUUCAUUAGUUGUUUCAUAGAAAUAUUCUAUUACCAUUGAUAGCCGUAUAAUAUCUUUUCUUUCUUGUAAGUAAUUGAGUUAAUUAGGAUUUAAUAAGCUUCUUGAUUUACUUGUACUCCUUAGACUAUUUAUACCGUAUUGUAUUUUGUACAAAAUCAAUGAGAAAUACAACAUUUUUCACAUAGUAUUAGAGCUACAAUUUUGAUAUGAGAAAUUUUUUUUAGGGUUUUCUUAUGGUAGAAAAACAAAGCUGCCCAAGCAUCCUAGAUGUUGACCCUAAGGCAGCAAACACCACUAGGCAUCAGGAAACAAUUAUCAUUACUAACUACAAACUCAAUGGAAAAACUACGCACAGUGGUCCAGACAUUGAGUACUAUCAUACACUCAUAAAAUACUAGCAACAACUUGAUAUCUAUGCAAACAUAGAGUGGAAGUGCACAAAUGAUGACAAAUUCUACAAAAAAACUGGUAGAGAAAGACAUAAUCUUGCAGUUCCUAUUGGGACUGAAUACAAAUUUGGAUGAAGUGAGACGGAGGAUUAUGGGAACUAAGUAUCUCCCUAGCAUUUGUGAAGCAUUUUCAUUUUCAUAAGUAAGAAGGGAAAAAAGCAUAAGGAAAAUCAUGUUGGGAAGUCAAAGUGCAAGUUCAAACAUUGAAGUCUCUACACUUGUAGCAACAGGUCCACCAAAAAAAGGUAGAGGAUGGUGCAAUCACUGCAAGCGACCUGGACAUACAAAGGAAACAUGGUUGGUGCUUGAUGGAAAACCCGCAUAUGUGAAACCACGAUUCAAGGACGCAUACACAUAUGUUGCUGCUGAUAAUGCAAGUAAUUCCAUAAACAUUGCAGAUGCCAACCCUUUCAACAAAGAACAAAUAGAGAUGUUGCAUAAAUUGAUGCAAUAGACAUUGCAAAACACUAGUGCCUCUUCUUCCACUACUACUCUUGUCCAAAAGGCAAUUUUUCUAUUGCCCUUCAUGUAAGUCACCCAAAAAAAAAAGCCUCUUGAAUUGUUAUUUUGGUGCCUCAGAUCGCAUGACUGAGGACUUCAAUGUAUUUAGCAAAUACACUCCAUGUCAAGAUGGAUCUUUUAUCCGAAUAGAAGACGAUACCACUCCAAGGUGGUUGGUAAAGGUUCAGUCUCUAAGGAUAUUACUCUUGAUUUAGUUUUACAUGUUCCUAAACUAGAUUGUAGUUUAUUGUCUAUAUGUAAAUCAACCUAAAAUUUAGGAUGUGUUGAUAAGUUUUUACCACAUUUGUGUGAAUUUCAGGAUAUGAAUUCGAGGAAGAUAAUUGGUAAUGCAGAGGAAAGUGCGUACCUUUACUUCCUUAGAGUUGAAGACCAAAAUAAGAGAUCCUACAAAGCUGCCCUUAUGCGUUCAUCAAAGAAUGAUAAUGAUGUAAUGUUAUGGCAUUAUUGCCUAAGACACCUAAAUUUUAUGAAUUUGAAAAAAAUGUUUCCAUCCUUAUUAAUAAAGAUUAUGGUUCUUUCAAAUGUGAAGUGUGUGAAUUAACCAAACACACCAAAUCCCAUUAUUCCAUACAACCUUAUAAGGCGUCUAAACCUUUCACACUCAUUCAUAGUGAUGUGCGGGGACCUUCAGGAGUGAUAAAUUUUACUGGAUCAAGGUGUUUUGUCACUUUUAUUGAUGAUCAUACAAGAGUCACUUGGGUGUUUAUCAUGAAAGAAAAAUAUGAAGUUGGGAGUAUAUUUGAGAACUUCCAUAAAAUGGUCCAAACCUAAUUUCAAAGCAACAUUCAAGUACUAAGAACUUAUAAUGGAUGGGAGUACUUCCACCACACCCUUGGUAGUCACCUUACCAAAAAUGACAUUAUACACCAAGCAUCAUGUCCAUACUCUCUGAUCCGCUAUUGUACACGGGUCAAAUACAAUUGAUAAAAUAUAAAUAGAGGUGAUAACCCGAAUCGUUUCGCAAGGACUUCUGAUAUAAUAAUAAUAACAUAAUUGAAAAUUGAAAUUAAAAAGGGGUUUUUUAGAUUUUUUAUUUAACAGAUGAUCAAAACGAUUAAUCCAUUUAUUCGAGUUUCAGACCUACCACAGAUUCUAUGAAUGAGUUUAAUCUCUAAUUUGUGAUUCUAUUCUUAUUUGACUAUAGAAUUGAUCAAACAAGCGUAAUCAAUCCUAUGUGAAUUUGGUUUCUUUGAUUGGAUUAAGCAUCACAAUCAUCAAAAUAUCACAAUUAACAAUCAAUCGUCGCAAAAUUAUAAUUCAAUUAAAUUAGAAACCGAAACCAAAUUCUGUCAAAUAAAUUUAAUCAAUCCUAUUGAAAUUCAAUUUAAGCAAUCAAAAUAUCAAUAUAAUCAAAUAAACAAGAAUAGAAUCAGAAUUGAAAUUGACAGUGUAACCUGAAUCUCAAGGUGUUGAUGAAGUUCUGAACUCGUGGAUUAAUCUUAUAAAGUUAGUCUUCCAUGAAAUUAAAAUAAAACUGUUUAUUUCUUGUAGCAAUUUAAAUCCUAAUAUUUUCGUCUUUAGAAAAGAAACAAAACUGCCAAUAUAUAGUACUUGAUAUAGAUUACGAAAUUUGCAAUUUAAGCCCAGUAAAGUUCAUAAUUAGUGUUUUCUUCCAACACAAAAGUUGUAGCUCAGAUUUUUAUCUUUCCAACGUCUGCUCAUAUGCGCCAAUUUGAUAUCCAGAGCUCAAGUUAUGACCUACAGAGCGAGGAAGAGUCAAAAUACAAAUAAUAAAAUUAUAAUUCAAAUUCGACCCAAAGUUUAGAAAGAAGCUAAAAAUAUUAAUCUAAGCUAUAAAGAGCUUUUAAAAUACCAAACUAAAAAGCUAAAAACAUGUGCCCAAAUGCUAUGAUCACUCUCCACAAUAGAAUGGAACAAUAGAGAGGAAAAUAAGCAUCUAUUGGAAGUCACUGGAGCCCUCAUGUUGCCUAUGAACGUACCUAAUCAUUUUUAGGGAGAUGCAGUCUUCUCUUCAUCCUACAUAAUAAAUAGAAUGCCCUCCAAAACACUCAACCUAAACAUACCACACCAAACCAUCUUGUUCGUUUAUCCUUCGACCAAACUCUUCACAAAUCUUUCACCAAAGAAUUUUAGAUGUAUUGCCUUUGUAUAUGACCAAAAGCCUAACUUUAAUAAGUUGGACCCAAAAGCCAUCAAGUGUAUCUUGUUGGGAUAAUCUCCUACCAAGAAAGGAUACAAAUGCUACGGUCCUCUAAAAAAACGAAUCUAUAACACUAUAGAUGGUACCAUUUUUUAAGACAAGACUUUUUAUCCCAAAGUUGACAUUCAGGGGGAGAAAGUUAGAUUUGAUGAACACCAACCUUGGAAAAUUACAAUACCAUAACUUUUCCUACAUGAACAUGUCUUAACCAUUCCACCCGAACCUUUCCAAAUCCCACUUGAACUUGUCCAAAUCCCACCAGAAUCUAUCCAAAUCAAUAAAACCCAUAAUUUGUCCCAAUAAUUGUUGAACUUGAAUUGGACCAGCAAACAACUAAUCUUGAUGUUACCAAUCCAACAAAUGGAGCACCAACAAUUGACCUAAAAGUAAAACCAAAUGGAGGAAAAGAACUGCAAAUAUACAUAAGGAAGAUGAACAAGCAGCAAACUCUUGAGGAAGUAGAAGCAUGCACUAUUCCAAAGUAGAACCAAGACUCUACUCAAAAUUCAGAUCUUGAACCUACUCACAAAGGUAACAUAUUGUGCAUUAACUCUUCCUCUAAUUUAUCUAAUAAUGCCACUAAUGACUAGGACUUAGACUUACUUAUUGUUGUGACAAAUGGAGUAAGGUCUUGUGCCAAACACCCAAUUGCAAACCAUGUUUCUAGUGAAAAAUUAUCGUAGGGGUACAAGAACUUCAACAAAUUUAUGGACAACAUUGACAUUCCUCAAAACUUUCAUGAAGUUGUCACAAUUCCAGAAUGGAAGGUUGUUGCAAUGGAAGAAAUCAAGACACUUGAAAAGAAUGGUACAUGGCAGCUUUCCCACCUACCAAAAGGGAACAAGGUAGUUGGAUGAAAUGGAUAUUUUAGGUAAACUACAAUAAGAUAAAAGUGUAAACAGGUACAAAGCUCGGUUAAUGGCAAAAGGAUUCACCCAAUCCUAUAGGGUGGACUUGGAGAAGUAAGAAAAAAUCUAUGGUUGCUAGAAGUAGUGCAAAAAUUGAACUUAGGUAUAUGACACAUGGGAUUUGCGAGGGGAUGUGGCUGCAAAGGAUGCUUGCAGAACUAAAAUUUCACACUGACCAUGAAGUAAGCAUGUUGUGCGAUAACAAAGUUGCCAUAAACAUUGCUAAAAUUCCUGUGCAACAUGACAUGCCAAAGCAUAUGGAAAUUGAUAGACCUUCAUCAAGGAGAAGGUUGACAAUGGGCUAAUUUCUCUUUAGCACACACUCUCAAGCCACCAAGUUAUUGAUAUCUUGACCAAGACACUUCCUAGACCCCCCUACGAAAACUUAAGAUUCAAUUCGGGCAUGAUUGACAUUUAUGACCUAACUUGAGGGGGAAUGCUGGUUACAAUUCUAUCCAUUAAGGGAAAGUUGUACAAAUUUUAUUAGCUGUAUCAUAGGAAUAUUCUAUUACCAUUGACAAUCAUAUAAUAUAUUUUAUUUCUUGUAAAUAAUUGAGUUAAUUAGGAUUUAAUUAGCUUCCUAAUUUACUUGUGCUCCCUAAAUAUCCAUAUUGUAUUCUGUACAAAAUCAAUGAGAAAGACAACAUUUUCACAUAUUGAAGUUUGAAGUAGCAAUAUCGAUUUACAAGAAAGGGGGGUUUGAAUUGUAAAUGUUCCUAUUUAAAAUUUCCUGUUAAAAACUUAAGAAAAUAACUCAAUGUUGAUCUUGGUUGUGAAAACAGAAAACGGAGAACGUUCUUGGUUUUUUACAAGAAAACGGAGAACGGUCUUGGUUUUUGACAAGAAAACGGAGAAUGUUCUUGGUUAGUUAAAUCAACAAUUUAAAUUAUCUAUUUAACUUCAUAAUCAAACAUAAUGAAAUUAAAUAGAUAAGAGAAGAGAUAUCACACAAGAUAUAUUCUGGUUCACCCAAUCCGGUUAAUGCAAAAGUGUUGGUAAAUGAUGUGUAUGAUAAAAGUGUUUGGGAUCUUGAAACUGCUCAACACUUGUUUGAUAUAAAUGAAAGACAAACUCAGUAUAUAAUGAUCCAAAGAUAUAGUGAAGAGAGCUGGAGUUUGCUUGAAGAGUUUUUUGACUUGUUACUUGAACAAGUGUUGGUAAAUUUGUAAAUUAAACUAUUGUCUUCAUCUUCCAAUUGAUCUUUAAUUUAUAGAUGUUAAAAGGCUUUGAAUAUUCAGUUUAAAAUGAAUAUAUCCGUUGGACACACUUCCCAAGUGAUAGAUAUAUUUUAAAGCAAUUAAACAUGUGUUUAUUUGCUAUCCAGAACGUUCUUGACAAACGGAGAACGUUCUUGCUUUUGGGUCUCAUGGAAAACGUGAAUGAGUUGUCACAUGUCAGUUGGCACUGUUUUGAGUCAGGUUUAUCCAGAUCUUUCUGACGAAUAUUGUAAGUACAAUGUACUUGUUUCCUUGCUCACAUCUCAUCAAUUUGGAGAUCAAUCUUAAGGUUGUUUUCCACCUUUGGUUAUUGAUCUCGAGUUAUUGGCUUCACCAAUGAUUUGAGCAGUCUUGAUACUCUUUAAUAUGUGAUUUAUAUUGUGGAAAAUUACCUCUUUUAAUUUUGUCUUUAAAAGAGAAUUAAAACAAAAUAUUCUUUUGUAAAACAAGAACAUUCUUCGUUUUGUGUUUUGUAUGAGUGUUGGAUUUUGACAGUUGUUAUGUGUCAUUCCUUUGUCUCAAAAAUAUGAUGUGCUUUAUGCAAAAAGGUGAGCAGCAAUGUCCUUGCUAUCAUGGCUCUCCUUUCUCAUAUCUCAUCAAUUUGGAGAUUGAUCUUGAUGUUUUGCUUUGCGUUUAUUGAUCCUCUUUGAUCAAAUCUAUCCAAAACAAUCUUGUGUAGAUUAUUAACUUCCUCUGUGAUGAAUACUGAUGUUUUGUAGUGUAGAUAGAUGUAUUUUUGUAGCCCAGAUCAAUCUUAGAUUACAACAGAUUUUGCUCUUUGUAAACCAGAACGUUCUUGGAUUAAAACUGUGAAAACGGAGAACAUUUUUCGUUUCUAUUCUGAGUGAUUGCUGAAUUUUGACAAUUCUAACAGCUGUUGUGUGCCAAGCUUUUCUGUUCUGUACGUGUGUCAGUGAUGCAGGGACUUUAUCAUUUCUGUUCAGUUUGUACUUGCUUACUUUAGUCAUCAACUUUGAGGGUUAGUUUUGGUUUUGAUUCUUAGUGCAUUGCUUGUCUUGCAAUGAUGGUUUGAAGAGCAACAAAAAUUAUGGGAAUGUUUUUAUAAGCUCUUGAUGAUUCCCUUUCCAGUUUGGUCCUUUUCGAGGUACGCUGAUGAUCAUCAAUAGGAGUGCUUUGGAAAGGAGCAGCAGAGGUGCAAAAAGUGGAUAAAUAAGAUCAACCAAAAAGCAAGAGUGUUCAAGCUGAAUCCAGGAACGUUCUUGACAUCCAAGAUGGUUCUUUGAACUGGAGAUUAGCUGAUUUGUACUUGUGAUUAUGUCAGUUGUCUGAGAUGAUUUCUAUCUUUAAGUCAAGUGUGCAGGUCUUGAUUGAAAGUACAACUUCAGUGUACUUUACAGCCUGUAAAUUUGUACUUGCAUUUGCCUCACUUGAAGAAUGAUCUUGCUUUGUACUUUUCAUGAAUCAUGUCUUUGAUCCUUCGAAUUCUAGAAAAAUUAUGACUUAGAUUGAUCCUUGCUUGUUCUUGAUGAAGAUAUGAGAUGAAUAAAGCUUCUAGAAUUCAAUCUUUCACAAAGGAAACUGAUCAUUCUUGUUUAAGACAUAUGUGGAGAAUGUUCUUCGUUUUCCAGAAAUAUGUCAUCUUCGUUUUACUGAAAUAUAUCAAGAAUGAUCUUCGUUUAACUGUUUUUGCUUUCUUGAUUUUAAUGAGAUCUGCUUUGAAAUACUUGGUACUUAACUUGUGUUGACACACUCAAAUACACAUGUUAAAUACCAAAACACUUAGAAUCAUAAUUAGAAUUCUUAAUUAACCUUUUGUUUAUUUUCAUCAAAACAUUAAAUUGAGAUUUUGUCUCAACAAAGUUCACAUCUUUGAAGAACUUGAAGGAAAUGGAUGAAUUAUAUUUAAUUUGGUUCAAUAUGUCAGAAGGGAUGAAGGGGAAUGCAGGGAUAAAAAUCUCUCGUUCAAAAUCUCUCUCCAAAAUUCCAUUUUCUCGACCAAACAAAAUACAUAAUACCUAUGAAAUAAUUCCACUCAAAACCUCUCCCUUCAACCUCAACAAUAACUAUGAAUUCUUAAUAAUCAACACACACUAUAACAAAGGUUAGAUAUGUUCUUUACCUUGUAAGAAGUUAUGGACUUCUUUUGCUUUGCUUCUUAUAAUGGCGGCAAAUGAUCCAAACCAGCAUGCCAGCUAGACCAAACCAAACUAGAAAGAUCGUGAGAUCAGAACCCAAAAAUAACAUUUUAUAGCGCAUCUUUUAUAGCGCUUAAUAAAUACAAGCGAUGUUGUAUAAUACACGUAAAAAUAAUGGAGGAUACAACAACGCUUUUAUGACAAGCGCUGUUGUAGGGUCACAUAGCGCUUGCACAUAAAGUUUACAAGGCUUUUACAUAGCUUGUUCAAAAGCGUUGUAAAUUGAAGCGCCAUCACUUAAUGUUUUACAACACUUUUGGAGCGCUUUAAAUACAAGCGCUGUAAAAUAUAGCGCUCCCACCUUAUGUUACAUAGCUUUUAAAGCACUUUUUUGACAAGCGUUGUAAAAUAUAGCGCUCCCAGCUUAUGUCACAUAACUAAAUGACCUAUUAGAGCGUGUUUAUAUAAGCGCGGUAAAAGACUUGCACUUUCACAUAAUUAAAGGACCUAUUAGAGCCCUUAUUACACAAGCGUUGUAAAAUCAUUCAGUUUAAAUAAAAAUCAUUUACUUUAAAUAAAUAAAAACAAAUUUACGAACCCUCAUCUCCUCUACUCUGGGAACCCUCCUCUCCUCUACAUACUGUGCGGCCAUCUACUGCUCAUCCUUUAAAAAAAAUUGGAUACGUUGUCUCAGGUACUGUAUUUAUUAAUUUGUUGUUGUCACUAAAACUAAUAAAUUGUUACAUAAUAAAUCAUAUAAAAUCUAUUAUUUUUUGAAAUUUGUUGAUUUGUUCUGUUUUGAAAUCAGACUUGGACCUUGGUUUCCAUUUUCCAAUAUUAGAUAUGUGUACUAUAUAUUGGUAUAAUAUUAUCAGUAGCUUAUUAUUUGUGUAACUGCAUUUAUAUAGGUCAUAUAAAAUGGACCGGAAAUGGAUGUCUGUCAAUCGAUUGUCAAAAGAGUAUGAAAAUGGAGUGAAGGAGUUUGUUGAGUUUGCAAUGAAUAAUGCAAAAGAUCCAAAUAGAGUCGUUUGUCAUUGUUUAAAAUGUUAUUUUGGAAAACGCAUUAGAGAAGAUGAAUUGGAAGGACAUUUAGUAUGACAUGGAAUUGAUCAAAGCUAUACAUGUUGGAUAAGACAUGGUGAGAAAAAAAGGAAACGUUAAUUUUGAGAAUGGUUCGACAUAUGCUUCAACUGAUUUCGACACAGAUACAUAUGAGCUGGACCGAGUUGAGGAGAUUGCAAAAGCAGUUGAAGAAGAUCUUCGGGAUUCUCCUAAAAUGUUUGAGAGUUUGUUGAGUGAUGCAGAGAAACCAUUAUAUAAUGGUUGUACUAAAUUCACAAGACUGUCGGUGAUAUUAAAGUUGUACAACUUAAAAGCGAGUAAUGGAUGGUCUGAUAAAAGCUUCCCAGAAUUAUUAACACUCUUAAAAGAUAUGUUGCCAGAUGAUAAUGAACUUCCAAGUCGAACCUACGAGGCUAAACGAAUUUUGUGCUUUAUUGGCAUGAGUUACGAAAGGACUCAUGUGUGUCCUAACAAUUGCAUUUUAUUUCGAAACGAAUAUGAAUUACUAAAGGCGUGUCUGAAAUGCAAUGUCUCUCGAUAUAAGAAGAAAGAAUCUACUCCAGAAAAAGUCGUGUGGUAUUUUCCUAUAAUACCAAGAUUUACGCGCAUGUAUCGUAGUGAAGAAGAUUCAAAACGCUUGACAUGGCAUGCAAAUGAAAGAAUUAGAGAUGGAAAGUUUCGACACCCUGCAGUUUCGACACCCUGAAUUCGGGAUAGAGUCAAGAAAACUACGACUUGCACUUUCUACUGAUGGAAUGAAUCCACAUGGUCUUCAAAGCAUCUCACACAGCAUGUGGCCUGUGAUUUUGUUGAUUUAUAACCUACCUCCAUGGUUAUGUAUGAAGCGUAAGUUUAUGAUGUUGUCUCUGUUAAUUUCUAGACCCAAACAACCGAUGAAUGAUAUCAACGUAUACUUGACUCCUUUAAUUGAAGAUUUAAAAAAUAUGUGGGAGACAGGCGUGGAAGUUUAUGAUGGGUAUAGGAAAGAAUGUUUCAAUUUGAGGGCUAUGUUGUUCGGCACAAUUAAUGAUUUUCUAGCAUAUGGUAAUUUAUCAAGAUAUAGCAUUAAAGGUCAGUGUGCAUGUCCUAUAUGUGAAGAGAGUACAAAUUGGACGUGGUUGAAACAUUGUAAGAAGAAUGUAUUUCUAGGACAUCGUAGAUUUUUACCUUAUAGUCAUCAGUAUCGUGGGUGGAGAAAUGCAUUGAAUGGAAAAAUCAGAGGAAGAUAAAGCUCCUUUAGCACCGAUUGGAUAUCAAAUACUUGAAAAAGUACAAGGUUUGACCAAUAAAUUUGGCAAACCUUUUAUGGGAGAGCUGGUCAAAACUGGGUGUAAGAAAAAGUCAAUUUUCUUUGAAUUGCCAUAUUGGAAGUCAUUGUAUAUAAGACAUUUCCUCGAUGUGAUGCAUAUUGAAAAAAAAAAUGUAUAUGAUAGUGUUAUUGGUACGUUACUCAAUGUUCCAGAAAAGUCUAAAGAUGACAUCAAAGCAAGAUUGAACUUGGUCGAUAUGGGAAUAAGAAAUGAAUUGGGUCCCGUAAAGAAAGAAAGUCACACAUAUCUACCUUCAACCGCUCAUACUCUAUCUAGAAAGGAAAAAAUUGUUUUAUGUAAAUUUCUACACGAAGUUAAAGUUCUAGAAGGAUACUCUUCAAACAUUAAAAAUUUAGCUUGUAUGAAAGACCUCAAGUUAAAAGGUUUGAAGACCCAUGGUUAUCAUAUUCUAAUUGGGCAUUUGCUACCAAUAGGUAUACGUUCCAUUUUACCUGAAAAUUUUCGAAGAGCCAUAACUAGAUUAUGUUUCUUCUUCAGGAAAAUUUGUAGCAAAGUGAUCGAUCCUCAGAAAUUACCAACAUUGCAGAGGGAAAUUCUUGUUACUUUGUGUGAGCUUGAAAUGUAUUUCCCACCUUCGGUUUUUGAUAUAAUGGUUCACCUUACUGUUCAUCUUGUUAAGGAGACACAACUUUGUGGGCCAACAUAUAUGAGAUGGAUGUAUCUAAUAGAACGAUAUAUGAAAAUAUUAAAAGGGUACGUAAAAAGUAGAAGUCGACCAGAAGGUUGUAUUGCUGAACGGUACAUUGUCGAAGAAGCUGCUGAAUUUUGUAGUAAAUAUCUGUCCAAUGUUGAAUCCAUAGGGCUUCCUAUGUCUCGUCAUUCGGGAAGAAUAUCAGGAUAAUGGAUAAUUGGAAAGAGACUAAUGACUAUAUCAAGGACAAAAUGGGAGCAAACACAAUUGUAUGUUCUACACAAUGAUGAUGAGGUUCAACCGUAUGUUACAAUACACAUGGAUCAGUUAUCUAGUUUGAACAUGAAUAGGAAUCAAAAUUGGAUAACUCGAGAGCACAAUCGAAGUUUUAUAAUAUGGUUAAAUAAUCACAUAAAGUCAAAGUUUGAUAUAGACCCCAGAUCAAUUUCACAGAGAUUGAGGUGGCUAGCAAAUGGUAUGAGUUUAUAUGUCUUUUCUUACACCGAUUAUGUAAUUAACGGCUACACAUUUUAUACCAAAGAACAAGAUGAUCAAACCACUAUGCGAAAUAGCGGAGUCACUCUCGUAGUUGAAGCGAUGCAUGUCUCAAGUGCAAAAGACAAAAACCCAAUAUAUGCAAAUCUAUCAUAUUUUAGGGUUAUCAAGCGCAUAUGGGAGUUAGACUACACAAUGUUUCGUGUUCCCGUAUUUGGUUGCAAGUGGGUCGAUAAUAAUAAUGGCGUUCAGAUUGAUGAGUCAUGAUUCUUGCUUGUCGAUUUUAAUAGGGUGAGAUACAAAGAUGAACCUUUUAUUUUAGCGUCGCAAGCUCAACAAGUGUUUUAUGUCACUGAUCCUGCUUAUGAUAAAUGGUCUGUUGUCCUAUCGACCAAUAAAAUAAGUGAUGAUAACAAUAAUGAUUAAGAUGUUGGUAAUAAUAUUUUAUUUGCAACAUCACAACCACAUGAAAUUGAUUCAACUGAUUAUGGUUUAUAUCUUAGAGAUGAUCAUGAUGAGGGAACUUGGAUUAAUCCAUCAUUUUGUAUUGUUAAUGGACAAACAAAUGUGAAUCCCACCAGGAAAAGAAGAAGGGCAUCUUAAUGUGUUAAUUGUUUUAUAUAAGCCAUGUAAUCUGGACCGAGUUCAUGUAAUUUAAUUGUUUGAUCUGCCAUAAUUGAACAUUUUAGUAUUUAGCUUGAACUAUAUUUGAUACUAAGUUCAUGUAAUUUAAGUGUACGUUUGACCUGCCAUAACUGAUUUUCAGCUUAGAUUGAACUUGAAAAAGCUUUGUUUGAAUACUGGGAAUUUAUCUUGAACUUGAACUGAUCAUUCCAAUAUGCCUGAUCAUGUAAUUUAGCAUUGAUAUAUAUAUAUAUAUAUAUAGGUAGUUAACUAAUUAUUUGGAAAAAAAUAAUAAUCCAAAUAUAGGUAUUUUACUUGAACUGAACUGAAUAUAAACUUGUAAUUUUACAGUGCUUUUGUCCGUAAGCGCUAUAAAAGCCUUUAAAAAAAAUAAGGAUGUCACAAAGCUUUGUUUUAUACCAAGUUAAAAGGGUCUUUUAAAGCGCUUGCUGCCAAAGCGCUGUAAAAGGCUUUUAAAAAUAAAAUAAGGAGGUCUUUUACAUCGCUUUGACAAUAAGCACUGUAUAAGGCAUUUAAAAAAACAGCCCUAUUACACAUAAGAAAGCAAAGACCUCUUUUAAAGCGCUUGUUGCUAAACCGCUGUAAAAGACUUUUAAAAAUACAGCCCUGUUACAUAAGAAACAAAGAGGUAUUUUAAAGCGCUUGUGGACAAGCGCUGUAAAAGGCUUCUAAAAAAUAAAAUCAUGAGGUCUUUUACAGCGCUUGUGGACAAGCGUUGCAAAAGGCUUCUAAAAAAGCACUGUAAUAGACUUUUAAAAAAUAAAAUAAGGAGGUCUUUUACAACGCUCUUUCGAAAAAGCGUUGUAAUAGGGUUUUAUAUAUAACUGAAGACCGCUUCAGUUUCCUCUUCAUUACGUAAAAUUCACUACGCUAGUGUCCUCCUCCUCUUCAUUGUUCUUCUCAUUGCGAACCCUAUCAUCUGUGUUAUUAUCCCUACGAACCAUAUUGCCACUAUCAUCUCCAUUGCUAACCAUCUAUUCUCAUUGAAAUACGUAACCCUCAUUACGUAUUUCUGCGAAUCAUACUAUGUCCUACGAACCGUUCGUAUUUCUACGCAUUCUCGGUGUUCCUUUUCCUAAGAACCCUAUGUAUUUCUUCUCACUAUUCAGGUAUUGUAUUUAUUAAUUUUUUGUUGUCACUAAAAUGCAUGUUGAACAUAUACUGCUACGUACUUAGACUACUGCAUGUUGAACUUGUUGAAGUUAUACUGAACUGCAUGUUGAACUUGUUGUAGAUAAAUGGAUUCUAACAAGGCUUUGGAUUGUCAAAAUGAGGAAGUUGUCAACACUAAGACUUAUGAAAAUGAGGUUAAACGUGGUGCAACUAUUAUGCAAAAUGUCAUAAAAGCAAGAAGUAAUGGCAUAAAAUUUGAGGUAUACUAUACUUUGUUUGCUGUUUAUUUUUUAUCUUUUUUGAAAGCAUGUACUUACUGUAUGAGUUUAUUAGGUGGGAUGGAAUGAAAGUGGCCAGCUAAUUGAGCCCAACAGUUCCAUGUUGGUAAGUUAUAUUGGUGCUGUUGUUCGUUAGAAUAUUCCAAUUAUAAUUGACGAUUGGAGAGAUAAGGCUUUGAAGGAUGCAAAAGAUAUACUGUGGAAUUAUAUAAAAGUAACUUUUUUUACUCCACUUUUUUGUUACUUAUAAUUUUUUCCAUUGAAAUACUUUACUCAAACUAUAUUUUUAUUUGGUUUGCAGUCUGCUUUUGAUGUUGAUGAGGUGAGAAAAACCUACGUGCUUAGAGUUGCCGGAAAAAUACACCGGGGAUUUAGAUCUCAUCUGUCAAACUGCUACCUAAGAGAUCGUGAUGGAAAUAUGAAUGUUGAAGCUCCAAAAAUAUAUAAACACUAUAUAUCAAAUGACGAAUGGAGCGCAUUUGUAGCUAAAUAUGCAAACCCCGUGUUUGUAGUAAGUGAUUAAUUUAUUAGCAUUUGUGUUUUAUUAUUCAUAUUCAUAGCGUACUUUAAAUUUUUAAACGGUUUUAUUUUUUUUAUAUAGAGUAUAAGUACGGCAAAUCGCGAGAGGACAAAAAAUCCAGCGCAUCCAUACAAAAAAUCUCAUAUGGGAUAUGCACGUUUAGAGAAAAAAAUUGUAAGUAAACAUCAAUUUUAUAUAAUAUGGUACAUUAUAAACUAUAGUUUCUAACUAAUAUUUUAUUUAUGAUCUUAACGAAUAGCAUUUGUAGCUAAAUAUGCAAACCCCGCGUUUGUAGUAAGUGAUUAAUUUAUUAGCAUUUGUGUUUUAUUAUUCAUAUUCAUAGCGUAUUUUAAAUUUUUAAACGAUUUUUUUUUUUAUAUAGAGUAUAAGUACAGCAAAUUGCAAGAGGGCAAAAAAUCCAACGCUUCCAUACAAAAAAUCUCAUAUGGAAUAUGCACGUUUAGAGAAAAAAAUUGUAAGUAAACAUCAAUUUUAUAUAAUAUGGUACAUUAUAAACUAUAGUUUCUAACUAAUAUUUUGUUUAUGAUCUUAACGAAUAGCUUUUGUUUAUGUCUUAAUGAAUAGCUACAAGAGACCCAAUCCGAUCAACCAUUGGGUCGUCAUAUUUUAUGGAAGGAGGCUCGUGUAAAUAAAGAUGGAGUUGUUGAUAAUGAAAAUGUUCAAAAAGUGAUACAACUUUGUUUAAGUAUAUUAUCACUUUAAUAUUGUAUUUUAAAAAUGAUAUUGAACUUAUCUAUUUAAUCUUACGUGUAUUUUAGGAGAAUCUAGAACAAAGUUCUGAAAAUCAAGAGGAUAACAAGUAAUCUAGUUGUAGGGACAUACUCGGUAAAGUAUUUAAUGUUCCUGAAUAUUCUGGCCGCGUGAGAGGGAAAUGAUUUGGCGUAACUCCAACCCGCUAUUUUUCACAAGAGAAGCGCCCAAAUCCAUCUAAUGAGGAAGUAUUAGAGAAGCUCAAAGUCCUAACAGAGCAAGUGACAUUCUUGGUGAAGACGAAUAAAGAAAAACAACUUCCGGAUCAACUCCAACGUGAAAUACAAAUGGAGAGUGAAAACGCUAGUUGCAACAUUGGUCUUAAAAGUCUUCCCAAGGUAAUUAAUUACUUAAUAAAAUAAGAAAUUCAUUCAACCUAAUUGUUUCACAUACUUAUAUAUUAACCAUUGAUUUAAGGUGUAUCUACUUGUGUGUUGUAUUUAUCCUCCCCUACUCGUCGCAAGGUUGGAAAAGGAACUUUGUACAAUACUUUUGGAGAAGUAUUGCACAACACUCUGAUCCCUGUCGACCAUGUCAAAGUAUCACCCGUGAUUGCUUUUGAACCAAAUGCGCUGUUGCCUAUACCAGACAACAAUGGAGAUAUGAAGUAUUUGGGAGAAGCAAUAGGUUGUUACGUGGCAUGACCCAAAAAUCUUGUUUCCCUUGAUAAGGUAUGUUUAAUUGAUAUGUAUAUUUAAUUGAACGAUAUAUGAUUAUGAUUGAUUAUAUUUAAUUGCUGAUUUUUUCCACUGUUAACUUUAAUUUCACAUUUAUUUAGAUUCAUACAAAGUCUAAAGGGAAUGACAAGAAAAUUCUCCGCAAUGGGUCAGUCACGUCACCAGAAAAAGUUUGUCACAUUUAUUCUGGCAGGUUUGUCAUUUUUUAAGAUUCAAUUAACUAAUAAACUGAUUAACCUCAUUUUUUCAGAUCCAAUAAAGGUUUGAAAUAUAUACGUUUAAAAUUUCAUUAACAAUCAAUGCACAAAUAUUUAUUGAAUUAUAUGUUUUAUUUUAUAGUGCUAUCGUCAAACUAACAACAUAGACUGCGGGUACUAUAUAUUGCGAUUAAUGAAGGAGAUUGUUGAUAUCAAUCAAACUAUAAUCCCAGAAACGGUACGAUAUUUUCAUUAUAUUUUGAUUUUCAUAUAUAAACUAUGUAUAUAUUUGAUUCUAACUUAUUUAUGUUCAAAUUUUAUAUAUAACAGUACUUUGACAAUUCUAGUCCAACAUACUCUGAAAGAGAUCUAACUGAAAUAAAGAAAUACUGGUGUAAGUAUGUGAUUGAAAUGAAAAUUAUUUGAUUUGCUGGGAUAUAAGAAUGCUGCAAGGUUGUGAAUAUGUAAAUGUUGUGUAGGCUAUGUUGUGUAGUUCUGUUGUUGUAAAUGUAAAAAAUAUGUUAUGUUAAUUCUGUUGUUAGUCCUGUUGUUGUAAAAAAUAUAAAAAGUUAUGUAUUGUUGCUAGAUUGAAUUAUGUUAGUAUCAAUAUAUAAAGUUACAAGUUUGUUGUUGGAUUGAAAAAUAUAGUAAUUGUGUCAAUAUAAUGUGCUGGACUGAAAAUGAUUUUGGAAAAAAAUUAAAAGACAGCACUUUUUUUUAAAAAUGCCAUAAAAAACCUGUUUAUACAAACAAGCGUUAUUUUAAAAAUUCCAUUUACAGCGUUUUAAAAAAAUAUAUAUAAAAAUGCACCUAUUACAGCGCUUUUGUGAACAAGCGUUGUAAUAGGUCAUUUAGUUACGUGAAAGCGCAAGUCUUUUACAGCGUUUGCCAAAAAAAACGCUUUAAAAGCUAUGUAACAUAAGGAGGUGGGAGCGCUAUAUUUUACAGCGUUUAUUUGGAAAAGCGCUGUAAAACGUGCAUAAUAAUGCACCUAUUACAGCGCUGUAAAACCAGUACAUCAAGCAGCGUGUUUUUAGAAGGGACUUACAACGCUUUUUUGAAAAAGCGCUGUAAAACUAGUACAACAAACAACACGUUUUUAGAAAGAAUUUACAACGUUUUUCUUUAUUUUAAAUAGCGUUAUUGUAUCUUUUUAAAGCGCUAGAUACUACAAUGCUUAAUUUUUUGAAAAAGCGUUUUAAAUGGCUUAAAAAAGCGCUGUAAAAUCAUAUUUUUCGCGUUGUAUCAAAUAAGUGAUGCUUCAUUCUGUUUGUAGCAGUGGGAGCAAUUCAAUCUGUCCAACAACUUCAGGUAUUAAAUCCAGCAUGCAUAAAGAAAAAAGCUUUUAUUGAAAGAAACAUGAGUAUAUUAUAUAGAAAGAAACACAAAAGUUUGAAAAUAUAUCUCCUUGAUUAUUCCUUCUGUAAAGUGCAUGGUUUAUAGGCAGGAUAAAGACUGUAAAAAAAGAAACAAAUUAUGCUAAUGAAAACAGAAACGAAUGGAGAUUAUUACAUGAUCUCCCUAGGCGCUAAUUACACAAUUACAUCCUAAUUUAAAAUAUUCGUAUUUACACACUAGUAACUUCCAUCAUAUUAUGAUCCCUUACAUUUUAUAUUUCCACCAGAAACUACAUUGGUAUCUGCUUCAACAGAAGCAUUAACAUCAUUAUCUACCCAAUGCCAGUUCUUAUUAUAACUCUCAUUGUCAUCUUCACUAGAAAUGUUAACAUCUUAUCAGCUGGCAUAUCACAGCCGCCAGAAACAGCAUGCAAAUUUUUUAUUUGCUGCCAUGGAAUCAUCACCAGAAACAACAGAAUUCAUAUUCAUUGCAUGUGACUGCUUAUCUUUAUUUAAAUUUUCAUCUUGACGAGGACCGGUAACCUCCACUACAUGACAGCGUUUCAUUUCUUUGUUGAUUGGUUCAUCAUAUAAGAGAGAUACUGUUGUAUUCUCUACAAUGAAUCCCUCCCCAAAAACAAACAUAACCUCCAAUUUGUUACCAGGUUCUAUACUUGAUGUUACGCUCUNNNNNNNNNNCCUCAUCCUCAAAGGAGGUUAGUGUAUCUCUUUUGUAGGCCAGAAUGGUUGUCUUGGUGUAAUUUAUGAUCAACACAACUUGACAACCUUCUGAUGUUAUGUUGUCCGGGGAAGAGUAAUAGACGACAAAC